UUUUUUUUUUUUUUUUUUUGUCAAUCGCCAACCCUAUUUCUACUUCUACUCUAUUUAGCGGAGAUCCAAUUCGACCUAUGAGGGGUCGGUGGGAACAGAACCACUACCGGAACAAGUGGAACUUAAUUAGAGUACAAGAGAAUCAGAAUAUUAAGAGAAGUAGUAAAACUGUAAAAUUGAAGAUUUUCCAAAUGUUUGUCUCCCCGAAUUAAGCUGCUGUGAACUUCUGACAUGUCCACCACCAUGUUCAUCUAUAAUUGUCAGUGUCUUGCACAGUGAAAUGUACAGGAACCUACCAUGUAGGAUCUGGAAAAAGAUUGUUCUACCAUGUGAGAAAAUGUGAGCCUACAGAACUUCUAUAUACGACGCUGCUGAUGCCUGAUGUUGAUAUUGUUGUGUUUUUUUUUUUUUUGAGGGAGGGGUUUCCCGGGGGCUCUAGAUUGCUGUGGCUGGGCUAGAUUUGCAGUGACUGAUAAUGAUAGUCAUGAUUUGAUUUCUCACAACCGUCCGCCGCUUCUGCAGAACCAUGCAUAAUAUUCUGCCGCAGUAGAAGAGUGAAUAUUAAUAUUACUACUUAGUACAAGACAUUAUUGGAUCUCGUGAAGGUUAAUUACGGGAAAUACCCUAAAUAAACCCAACUCAUAAUUCAUAACUUAUUAAUCCUAUUAGAUGGAAAAAAAAAAAAAAACGCCCUUCUUUAAACAGUACUCAUAGUUUUGUAGUUAAUGACGAAAUAAUAUUUGUUUAUUAUAGUUUAUUUAGACUAAUAUUAAAACGAGAGGCUAAGUCAAGCCCGCAAUACCCUCCACAAAUAAAUAAAUGAGAAAAAAUUUAAAUUCACCCAGACCCAACCUAUGAUCUUACUUAUAACUAUACGGCUAUUCUUACAUCAUCUUAUUUCACCUAUCAUUAUUUCUUUUCUCUUUAUUUAUUUUUUAAAAAGAAUUUCUCUCACUUUUUACGUCAUCAUCGAAUAACGUGACGACACUCAAAUAUAUCACAUCUACUACAAAUGAAUGAACGUGUAAAGUAGGUCCAUCCAAAUAUUUUAAUUAGAUUGCUAAACUGUAUCCAAUUAGCUAUUUUUCAGCGUGGGAUUGCACCGAAACGGUAAGUAAGCGAAGUAACAAAAAAGAAAUUUUUUUUUUUUAUUAUUAUUGAUUGAGUAGGUUAGAGAUGGACAUCAAAAUAUGCUGCUUGUCUCACUUUCUCAUGCAAAGCAAUGCACGCGCACGCCCACGGAUACAUAAAAAGCGUACAGCAGCAAAAGGUGGGGUGGGGCUGGGGAAGCUGUUUUCUGGAGAAAAAGGGACAUGGCAUCUCUCACUGGGAUUGUGCAUUUCGGCCCCCUUCAACUUCAAGUCUGCCAAUUCGAUAAUCCGUCACAUCCAUCGCUCUCGUGUACUUGGAGCUAGGGGGUCAAGCUUACUUACUGCUAGUCUUGAGUGGCGUGGCAUUGGCCCUCUUAACCGCCCAAACAUCCUGUGGAGUUCAGGUGACCAUUUUUUGGUCCCCGGCCUACCUUAAUCAUAUGGCAUCUAGCUAUGCUGGCCUGCUACUGCCACUGCUCCUCUACUCCAUCCAUCCAUCCUUCCAAUCCCAAAGCUUCAAUUUCCACACUCCAUCCAUCCAUUGAUUGAUUGAUUGAUCUGACUGCCCCCAAGCGUAACUCCCCCCCUCCUUCCUACUCCUCCUACUAUUACCGCUGCUACUACUAAUUAUAGACGCCCGUGGAGUGGAAUGGAGUGUUGUAGGCUAGCUGCCGAAUUCCUCACCAACGAACACUUUCCACAGCCUACCGUGUACGAGGAUUCCCAUUUCGUUACUACUACUGACUCCGUUAUCUUUUUGUCCCCUUUCGUUAAUGGGUUUUAACAGUAGUAGUAGCAGCAGUAGUUCCACUUUUCUGUAUGCGGUGAAUUACUAAUCAGGCAGGCAUGUUUCUACAACUUGAAGAGACCAGCUGAAAUUUUUUCCCUUGAAUGAUGCUUUACCAUGCAUGGGAUUGUUGGUGACGCAAAUCAAAAGAUUAGGCAAUCUAUGCGGCAACACAUGUAGUUAGGAGACCAGCUGCAAAAUGGAUUCGUUGUCCCUGUCGUGUCGUGUCGUGGGGGAUUUUUUUACUUUAAGGUCCUGCGGGCCUUUUUCUUUCCUUUUGGUCAAAAAAGCUCAUCUCGCUCACACCAGAUUUUUUUAUUAAAAAAAAAUAAAGUGAACCAAAAAGGAAAAAAAAAAAAAGGAAUUUUUGGUACUGUCAUUUUAGCCUUCAAUAUCAGAUUUUACUGAUCCAGACGACACCAAACUGGUUGGGCAGGCCAGUUUGGAUCCAAUAAUUACUGAUCCAAAAGGGAGAUAGGCUUCGGUCCUGUUUGUUGUCUAUUUGGUUUUGGUUUGGACCAUGUUGUUAAGCCCUCUUGUGAAUUGGAUUUUUUCGGUUUAAGAAAAUAGAUUAAGCCCAAGGAUUGCUAUUCUCGGCAAGCUUACAGGCCCUGCUGUCAACACCCCGCUCAUUGUAAUCAUCUGCCCCAUUUUUGUCCCAGCCACCUCGCGGUGGCAGGAUUCCCUGUAUCGGGUGCUUAUGGGUUGACUGGGCUUUCAUCCAUUUCUUGGCUUCUAAAUUUCACAAGGCCAAGUACCGCUCUUUGCUAGUCUCAGCAAGUUUGUACAGUUACGUCUGUGACGGGCCAGGAAAAUUGCUGCUGUUGAAUGAGCCCAGGAAGAUGGCCUGAUAAUUGCAAUCUCAAUGCGCAAAUUGCAAUGCCUUGUGAAGUGCAGAAAUGUCCGUACGUAUGAAGUUUAGAAAGUUUUGGGAAAGUAUGAUAAUAGACGGACUAAUUUGUCCCUAUCUUAAAAUUUUUUGACAAAUUUAUCUCUGUUAGUUAAUUUAAAUUUUUGUGACCAAUUUGCUCCAACUUACAUAUAAUGAAAAGGACUAUAUUGCCCUUAUUAACCUUAUUUUCUCAACCAAAUUCUAUAUAAAUACAUAAUCUUAUCAAUUGAGCUUUUUGCAAAUGAAUGCUUCAAUAAGCCUAAACUAGAUCCCAAAAAAAAAAAACCUUCUAUAUUGACUUGAGUUUGGCUUAUUUAAAACUCUUAAAUGGGUUGAAUUUUAUUCAAUUUAACCUAAUUUAGCGAAAACUCGGCCCAUUAUUUAAUUGAAUUUCAAUUUUAGAUUCAGAAACUAGAUUAAAACCUAUUUUUAAGGGCCAAAUGAGCUGAGUUUGAGUGAAUGCAAAUUUGUAUAUAUCAAAACCCUUAAUUUACUUUAUAAUUCUAAAGUUUCAAAUUACUUUAUUUUAAUAAAAGUUAUAAAUUAUUAAAUUCUUUUAUUCAAACGAUCAUACAAAUUAAGGAGUAUUUUGUUCAUUAAAAUAGUAAUCAUCAUAUUUCUUCCAAUUUCCAACCAAACAUAUGAUAAGAUUAUUUCCUAGUAUAUCCUAUCCAAUCUAGAACCAAUCAAACACUAAAUAAUUCGGAUUAUUAAUUCGAAAAUGACUCAACUCAAAAUUAAUAAAUGGAGGAUGAGUCAUACCAUCUCAUCCAGUCUGUGAACCAAACAAACCCUUAGAAAUUUGUAUAAUUUCUAUUAUUAAGUUUGUUCUUUAUUAAGAAAUUUUAAAUUUAAAACCACCUAUUUAUAAUCUCUUUCACCUUACCAUUCAAUCUAAAUCUCUCCCGUUGCGCGAGUGAUCCAGCUGCAAAAAUCACAGCAUAUAUCUAGCUAGCAAUUUUUUUAUUUUUUUGUUUGGUCGGUCUUUUAAGUUCUUGAUAACAGCUAGAUAGCAAAUAAGAAACCAGAGUGAUCAUGGGCCAAUUGAUUAUUAAUCCAGCCAAUAUGCUCUGCUAGCAUUCAUUCGUUAAAAAGUACUGAUACAACAAAGAGAGAGAGAGAGAGAGAGAAUAAGAAGAGAAGUCAGAGAAGUUUUGCCGCAGAGUAGAAGGAAACCGACAGAGAUGAAGGAAGGAUAGGUGGCAAGAACGUUCAAAACCUCGUGCCAAACACCCAACCCCGCAACUUGUUUCUCAUGCAAAGCCUUUCACUAAAUGUCAUGCAUGCAGCCCAACACGUUGCACUCCCCCACUCAUCCCUCCUGCGCCCUAAAGUCACUCCCCCUUCUCUUUAAAAGCAGCUGCUUACUCGAGCCGCUUCUCCACUCUAUAGUCUGUAAUCCAUCAUCGCCUCUUAUCAUCAUUAAAAAAAACCAAAAAAACAAAAAAAAAAAAGGCUCAACAAUCUUGUCAUUCAGAGCAAUCGAUGGCUGAUCGAGACCGUUCACCGCCACAACAGCUUCAAGUACACCAUCAGCACCUGGGAUAUGGGGAAGGCGGUGUCAAGACCCUCUUUCCUCAGACGGGCCCGUCGGCAAUUCAAGUCCUGGCAGUUGUCACUCUCCUCCCUGUUGGUGGCACCCUCUUUGGUCUCGCUGGUCUCACAUUAGUUGGGACCUUGAUCGGCCUUGCCCUCACCACCCCACUCUUUGUGAUCUGCAGCCCGGUUCUGGUGCCUGCUGUUGUCCUCUUCGGCCUGGCCGUCACUGGCUUCCUCUCGUCUGGAGCCUUCGGUCUCAUGGGGCUCUCAUCUCUUUCUUGGGUUUUGAAUUGCUUCAGGCAGAAGGCUACGGAGCAGAUGGACGAUGCCAGGAGGCGCAUGCAGGAGGCGGCAGGGCAACUGGGCCAGAAGACUAAGGAAGUAGGGGAGAGGAUCCAGACAAAAGCCCAGGAACCUACUGGAAGAGAUCAAGGUGGAAGGGAAGCUGGAAAAUACGUGGAGAAAUUCCAAUAAAGCAAUGAGCCAGUAUGCAGCAUGCAAGUUGGUUCCUGGAAAUAAUGUAGAUGUUUGUAAUUGUACUGUGAUGUUAUUAAUUGUACCGUGUCAAUUCGUAUUUGGUUGUAUUAUUGCCGGCAUCCAUUUCAGAUAUCCAUUUGCGUCGUCAUAAUCUCUUUGUUUGUUGAGGGUUUUCCUUGUAUUGGUAGGAUCCAUAUCUUCAAUUUUAUGGCAUUGUUUUGGUAUCUUUUUUCCUUAGUAUAACAGUGGAUGGUAUUGCGAGGAGUUAUCAUCAAAUAUUGCCGCCCAGAAGACUUCUCAAGACAGAAAUUUGUUAAAUCAUUUUGGUUCAAAAGAAUUCUCAAGACAAUUUGUUUAAUAACACCAGCAGGAACUGCUCGGCACAUGAAUCCGUCCCCUCGAUUAGAGGGGGUUAUCAUUCUUUAGCUCUUUUCAAGAUAGUUAUGUACCAUAUUCUCCGUUGAUUGUGAAACUGAAGAGCCAAUAUAAAAGUGAAGUGCCACUAUAUAGAGCAAGGAUACGCUUUUAAGCUUCUUCUCAAGUUCUCAGGAUGCGGUGAAAGCCCCACAACGUUUGAUCCUAUCCUAACAGCACCCGGACAUCCUUGUACCAAAUAAGAAUGAACUUAGGGCAAAAAUGGUCUUUGAAUUUCAAUGGGUAUAAGAAUGAGUUUAGGGUACAGGCAAAGAUGGUCUUUGAAGUAAAAAUGGUCUUCGAAUUUCCACUGCAAGGUGGGGCUAUUUUGAGAAUGUCCAUCUUUGAAUUUCAGUGAGGCUAUUUCGAGAAUGUGAAUUCAAACGCAAGGGUGGGAUUAUUUUGAAAAUAUGAGAGUGUUUGAAGUGCAAUAGAAGUAUUGAAUAUAUGUCUCAUACAGGUCUAUUUUGAGAAUGUGGGUGGGAUUAUUUUGGAAAUAUGAGAGUGUUUGAAGUGCAAUCGGAGUAUUGAAUACAUGUCUAUUUGAGAAUGUGAAUUCAAACGCUAGAGAAUGUGAAUUCAAACGCACAAUAUACAGGUCUAUUUUGAGAAUGUGAAUUCAAACGCAAGGGUGGGAUUAUUUUGAAAAUAUGAGAGUGUUUGAAGUGUAAUUGAAGUAUUGAAUAUAGGUCAUUAUGACUAGUUUGGUUUUGUUGCAAUUACUUAGGGGGCGUUUGGUAAAAGGGUAUCGGAAUGAAAAAAUGGAAUAAACUCCAUAAUUGGUGUCUAGUUCACUGGUAUGGGAAUUGAAAUUUUCGAAUGAUUUCUAAAAAUUUGGCAUCCCUCCAUUCCUUAGUAAAAUGGUGGGUUUUGUCCAAAACCCAUGUGUGAUUCCAGAAUCUUAUAAUUACAUAAUAUUUAGUAUAAUUAAUAUUUAUAUAUAUUAUAUAUUUAUAUUUAUAUUUAUAUUAUAAUAUAUACAUAUAUAUAAUAUAUUAUAAUUAUAAAUUUUAUUAUAAUUAUAUAUUUAUUAUAAUAUUAGUAUAUUAUAUAAAUAUAUAUUAUAAUUAUUUAGUUAAAUAUAAUUAUAUUUAUAUAAUAUAUUAUAAAUUUAUUAAUAUUAUAUAAUGAUAUAUUUAUAAUAUAUAUGUAUAUUCAUAAAUGUAUAUUAUAUGUGCACAUAAUUAUAAUAAAUACAUGUAUAUAAUUUUAAUAAAAUAUAUAUUUAUAUUUAUAUUUAUUUUUUAAAUAUAAUAAUAACUAUAUCUAAUUAAUAUGCAUUAUAUUUAUAUAAAAUAUUAGUACAAUUAAUAUUUAUAUAUUAUAUAAUUAUAAUUAUAUAUUUAUAUUAUAAAAUUUGUAUAAUUAUAAUUAAUUAUAUAUAUAAUAUUUAAUUUAAUUAGUUACAAACUUAUAAUAAUCAUAUUAUUAUAUUAUUUAUUAUAUAAUUAUAAUUAUUUAGUUAAAUAUAAUUAUACUUGUGUAAUAUAUAUUAUAAAUUUAUUAAUAUUAUAUAAUAAUAUAUUUAUAAUAUAUAUGUAUAUUUAUAAAUGUAUAUUAUAUGUGCAUAUAAUUGUAAUAUAUACAUGUAUGUAAUAUUAAUAAGUUAUAUAAUUGUAAUUAUAAUAAUUAUUUUAAAUAUAAUAAUAACUAUAUUUGAUAUGUAAUAUAUAUUAUAUUUAUAUAAAAUAUUUGUCUAAUUAAUAUUUUUAUAUAUUAUAUAAUUAUAAUUAUAUAUUUAUAUUAUAACAUUUGUAUAUUUAUAUUUAAUUAUAUAUAAUAUUUAAUUUUAUUAGUUACAAACUUAUAAUGAUAAUAUUAUUAGUUAUAUGUAUUAUAUAAUGUAUAUUAAUUUAUGUAAUAUAAUUAAUAUUAUCAAUUAUACUAAUAAUUAUACAUGUUUACUAAUAGAAAUUAUUAAUCAGUUAGACUAAAUUUACUAAUACAUUUAUACUAAUAUAUUUAAUUAGUGAAAAUUUUUUAUAUCCCAUUUACAAAGAGCUAAUAACUAUCAUUUACGAUGUGGUUUAUAAUAUAUUUAUUAUAUUCCAUUCCGAAAGAGUCGACGAACCAAACAUCAAUUAUAGUAAUGAUACACAUUCCAGGUACUUGAACCAAACAAAUGUAUUGAAAUGAAUGACCUCAUUUCAAACUCAAGAUAUCCGAUUCCGAAUCCGAAUCUAAUUCCGAUGUGUGAACCAAACGCCACCUAAGAUGUUCUUUCAAACAUUUAAAACUAUGGGCAAGUUUGAUAGGUGACAUUGUUGGAUAUCCGAUUGACCAUUCGGCACAACUGAAUUAUAUCUGAUUGACAUUAAUGGCUAAUUCAGCAUGUGUUUUAGUGGAGUUACGUAAAUUUUUCUCAUCGUUAUUUGCAAACUUAUGAUAUAUAGAUAUUAAAACACAAUUAAUACUAAUUAGUAGAGACUGUUAUCAUAGUAAGCCCAUAUGUUCAAAUUCAUUUCAUUUAUUUAUAGCUUUGUUAAACCAAAACCAUGCAACUUAUUGAAUUCGGAUGUUACUACAUUAGCUACUUCCCCAUUUUGCAACACCCUUUUGCAAUAGGUAUGUUUUCUUUAACAAAUCUACUUUUUUGUUGUAAGAAAUCUCAAUAGAAAUUUGUAAGAAAUUUGUAAUCCUACAGGUUGUAUGUGCGAUAAUUUUUUAAUAUUUUUAAUUCAAUUGUUCAUGUCAGUCAUGCUUGAUAGAGAGGAGAUCACAUUUAUUAAUUGUUAUUUGUGGUUUAAAAUAAAUUUAUCAUCAUAAAUUUUUCCAUUUACAGAUUGCAUCUACUUCUUUUGUUGUUUUAAAUUUCAUUUAGGCAAAUUUUUUACUUCAUUUGAUUUACCAAUAAAUUAAAUUAUCUAUUUAAAAUAUUUAGCUACAAAUCUAAAUUACGUACUUCAAUAAUUUUAAUUAUUUUCUUGAAUUGAGUGGAUUAAGAUGCUUUAGUACUUUUUUUGAGAUAAUUUUUCCUCUAAAUUAGCAUGUUAGUUGUUAUAUAUCUUUCCUCUAAUUAUGUUUCAUUGUAUAUUAUAUUUUUUAACUCAGCAUGUAACUUAUGAUUUUUCUAUUUAAUAUUAUUAUAUAAUAAAAUUGUCAUACUUCGAUUCUUAUACUACAAAAUACUAAAUAAUAAUUAUUAACCAUAUUUAAUUACAGGCACUAAACUUCCUCAUGUAACACGGGCUUUUCCCCCUAGUAAAGUACAUAAGAUCACCCAGCCGUCUAUUCUCCCUUUUCAAGAAGAAAAGCAUGAAACAAAAGAAUAUUUAAAAAAUUUAAAUGACUAAAAAUACAGGUUCGUUAUGUAGUUUGCUCCGGUUUUCCUGCUUCGGCAUGCGUAUUUCCAGGCUCAGUAGUUGGCUUUGCGGGAUUAGGAAUCCAAAAGGUAAGAACCGAAGAUGCAGCAGCAAACAUGACCCUACGAGGAGCCCACUUCAAGCAUGAGGCAACGCCUAUGUCAUUAUCCCAGCAGGCAACCUGCAGCAUAAGAAGUGCAAUUCAAUUGUAGCACAAGUUAGAAAGGAAAAUGAUAUUAGCACUUCUCAAAAAAUCUCAAACACUCCUUCCCUUUCUUUGCAUUAGAUCAAAAAUGAGAAACCUCAAACACUCCUUCCUUUCUUUGCAUUAGAUCAAAAAUGAAAAAUUUCAUACACCCCUUCCCUUUCCCUUUCCCUUUUUAGCAUUAGAACAAGUUUAAGGAGCGCCUGAGAUUUUUUUUGAAAAGUGUUAAUAUCAUUUCCCAUCCUUUUACAUUAGAUCAAGUUUAAGAAGUGUGUGAAAUUUUUUAAAGAGUGUUAAUACCAUUUCCCUUCCUUUCUUUUACAUUAGACCAAGUUUAAGGAGUGCCUGAAAUUUUUUUUUGAAGAGUGUUAAUAUCAUUUUCCGUUAGCAAACUCGUUUCUUUUCCACUACAAGUAUUUUAUCAACUCCCUAGCUUACCACAUAGCCAAGAAGCCGGCUUUCUCUCCUGAUAGUUCUUAUAUUUCCCAAUUUAUAGGCCAAAAUAGUUAAAUGCAUCUCAUAGCUUUCUGUUACCACAAAUGAAACUCUGACUUCAUCAUAAAUUUACACGAGAUCAGAAUUUGCUUGUGUGCUUUACAAUCGUUGUUGCUCAUUUACAAUAGACUCGAUCUGGAGCUUCAAUUUUGUAAAACAUAGACAUAUAUCCCGGGAGAUAUUGGAAGUCAAGCAGCCUUAACCGGCCACAAAGAAAUCAACCCGACUAAGGCUCUAUUUAAUAAUCCCAUUUAGACUUAAUGAAUUCAGAUCUUAACAUGAUCAAACUCAUUUGAUAACAAAAAAUUGAAUAUCUGAAUUAAUUAAGUGACAUUGAAUUUCCUAUGCAAAAUUAGCUUCCAAAAAUAAGUGAUAAGCUAUUCAGUUAUCAUUGAAUGUGAUAUACAUUUAAAUGUAAUAGAUUUAAUAUUUAACAAUUUAAUAACUUAAAUUUCAUAUUUCAAAUUUAAAAAUGGAUUUAAUAAGUGAUUUCAGAUUUAAUAAGCUAUUCACUUAUUUCAGAUUUAAUAAGUGAUUUCAAUUUAACUCAGUUUUCAGACUUCAGUUUUACCAAACACACCCUAACUCGUGAAAAAACAAGAUGUACGUGUCAAAAUUUGUUCAGCGGAUAUGCUUUCAUGACAAGGGAUGAGAAUGUCAUUCUUGCUCAUUUACUGUAACUCUAACAAGAUACAUGAAUCAAAGCUCAGCAGAUUUGGGGGUGUCUGCUCGAGUAUAUACGAGGAAGAGAGGAAUCACCAUACCUUAUUUCUUGUUCUUAUGCUCCAAGCAUGGAGAGUUCCAUCUCCAGAACCUUUAACAGAGUAGUGAUAUCAGUUCUAGUGUUUAAAAAAAAAAGUAGUGGAUCACCAAAGAAAAAAAAAACUAGGGAUAUCACUAGUGUUAAAUAGUGGAUCACCACCAAAAAAAAAAAAAAAAUCAAUAAGCUAUUAAUCAUGCGAGGUAUGACUAAGAACUCUUAUCAAACCAACUACAAAAGGUAGCAAUAAAUGAUGCACAAAAAUGAUACAUAAAACAGUUUCAGAAUCUUUGCGCAAGGAUGCGUUAGAAUUAAUUUAACUGGCAACAGCCAGCUAAAUUGUCACAUGGCCACAUAGCUACUACUAAACCCCAGCAUAAUGUUGGAAUAGUUAAAAAAGUUGUUCCCAUUACAAGAUUAUAGAACAUAAACAGCAAUGUUUGGCAUCUUUAACCACUUCAGAUGAACUGAAGACACUUCACUGAAGAUGUACAGUUCACAAAGUUGCAAACCACUUCCCAUUGACGAGUGUGAUACUCCUGUUUGAAGUGUAUUCACUUAUUUGAAGAGAAAAACAGUAUUUCUAAUUGUUCAGGCACAACAUCCUGAUAAACAGAAAACCAGUCUAUCAUCCCAGUUACAACCACUAGACUGGCUCAGAUGAAACGUCUAACAUCACUGAAGUAGUUAUAUUCCUUCUCUUUUGUUAAGAAGAUGUGUUAAGGAAGAACUUGUCAAUUGCACGAACCACUCAGGAAGACGCUAAAUCAAUCACAACCAAAAUAAGAUUAAGCUUAACAUUUGAAAUCUUGUAUCAGAUGAAAAAUAAUAGAGCAGAAGGAGCAUCAUAGAAGGAAACAACAUGAAGAAUUGAAAAGUAUUAUAUUUCCUUAAGCAAACAGAAUACGACCAAAUAUCUGUACCUGAAACCAAAUAUUGGCCAUCUGGUGUAAAUGUAGCCUCUAUAGCUGUAUUGGGGGAAGGAUCCAGACUAAACCCACAACGCUGAAGUAGGAAAAAGCGUGAUGUUUCAGUUGAGGACAAAGAAAAGGUGAAAACCUCAUACCAGUACCCCAGGAAACAAGGAAAGCAAGAAAAUCCAAAAGUGAUGCAUACAAUACUAUUAAAAAAUAGAGAAAGAAAAGCAAGAAAUCUGACCUUCUCGCCUCCAUAUGCGUCAAGAACAUAUAUGUUGUUACUUUUAGUAGCCAACAGCAUUGAUUUACCAUCAUUACUGAACUUAAUAUCACAGACUUCAGCUGUAUCUCCACCAACAAGGAAAGUAUCAAAUGGUCCCUGCAUUUUUCACAGGAUAAUUGAUUUCACAAGAUCAUGCGUACAAAAGAAAGUGAAUGCUUGUUUUUCCUUUAUAUAACUAAGGAAGACAACAUUUUGAACACACAACCUUGUCGUAUGAUCUAGAAUCAAACAAUUUGAUUGCACCCCCUUCCAUUGAUACUGCAAAGACAAGACCUUGUUGAUCAUAUGCAACAGUUGGCCUACCACGUAGACGUAAUAUUCCCUGAAAGCUACAAGAGUGAGCUCUUAUCCCAGUCAUGUUUUUAUCUGGAAGCAGCAAAGAAAACAUGAUGGUAAUUUUAAAAUGGCUCAGGCACUCGCCAGGGCCAGGGCCUACACAUUUAGAGGAAUAUAUUCUAUUCAUGUAGCUUGUUUAUGCAUUUCAGUUUUAAUAGAAAAUGCUCAAUUCCAAUGCUUAUUUUCAGAUAAGGCUCAAAGAAAUUUUUUUUGUCUUAAUUAGAGAAAUUUAAGGAUACAAAGAACAGAAAAUGAACUUAAAGGUUGAGAAGCGCUCAUAAUCACAAGGAAAAUAGGGAUAAAAAUUUACCCAGACUAACCUGGCAUGCAUUUACUCGGAGAUCCCAUAUACGGACAGUGUGAUCAAGAGAACCAGACAUAAAGCUGUCAUUAAUAGGAGACAUGCACAGUGACACAACCCUGUUGCCAAGUCCAAGCAAAAGAUUGACACAAAAAUUAACACUAUAGUUACUGGAGUUGAAUCCAGAAGAAGUCAAAAAAGGAAGUAAGUGAACGUAAAUUAUAAACUUCACUGAAAAAGUUGAAGAACAUAAAAGAACUUUAAAAGUAAUGAAGAUUUUAGACUUUCAACAUAUUUUGCCAUACAGCAUACACAUCCAAAGUAGCAAACAAUAAUUCGAUGAUACACAAAGUACUUGCAAAGAAAAGUAACAAGUUAACAUAGAAUGCAUAUUUACAAUCUAUCUAACAAUUACCUCGCCAAACGUAAGCUAGAUCACCAAUCAUUGAGGUUAGACUAUAAUUGUUUCAUUAUAUCUGCUUUCAAAAGUUACUAGCUCUGUCCCAUCCUAUUAGUCAUGAUUUUGAUUUUUGAGUACCAAAUCAUUCCUCCUGGUCUGGAAAGGAAUUUUUUUUUAAAAAAAAGACCAACAUCUCUAUAUUACAUAUGAUACAAACUCUAAAAAUAAGCAUUAAAGUAGGGCCCUUUUAGGGUUGUAGUAAUUUUGCAAAAAAAAAAGUGCUUUUGGAGGAUAAAAGCACCUUUAAUGUGAUUGGCGAGCACUAUUCCUUGAAUUUUGAAGUAAAGCUUUUGGAUAAUAAAGCACUUUUAGCACAAACUCAAAUUUGGUGCUUGUACGGCAACUUUUUUUCCAAAAAGUAGUAAUUAAUUUUAACAAUUUUAUUAUAAAUUUUGAAUUAAAUGAAGAGAUAAAUAUGUUUUGGAAAUUUGAAAUUGCACAUUAUGAAGUGCAAAAGUACUUAUUCAAGUAUGCACCCAAACAAAAUGAUUAAGCACUUAAUAAGUACUUUGACUAAAAGCUCUACUGCAACUCCAAAUGAUCCAUUUAUGUAUCAAAUUAAAUGCUAUACAAAACCAUUUCAACAUUUAAAAAUUCAAAAGCACCAACAAAGUUUGAGUUCAAACGUCUUCUCAAUCCAUAUGCAGAUUUAGCAUGACAAAUAGAACAGGACCAAGGGGUACAAUCAUUAUUUCCACUAUGGGUACAUUAAGAAUGGUAAAGUAAAUACUAGGGAAAAAGUACUACCUAUUCCUUUUUCCUAGGGAUAAAAUGUAGUAUACAUCUAUACCGUGGUCAUGUUAACAAACAUAUUUUCAAAUCAAAUGUCGCAUGCAUAAAUGGGAUGUUACACUAUCAUGUUUACAGUGGGAAGCUGCAUAGCCAUACCUUUUCUCAUGUCCCUUAAAGUACCGAAGGCAGCGAUUGUCAUACAUGGAUAGGUAGCGCAGAGAUUCUGGUAACAAGUUAGUCAAAGAUAUGUUCCAUACAACUACGUCUGAUACAUCUCUGGAAGCAGAACAAAAUAAAAUUACCUCUGGAAUCCAAGUUGUAUCUUGAUGAACAUAUAACAGAGCUUGAGUGAUGGGUGAAGCAUAUCCUCUCAGCACCGUGUUUCUUAUGGUAGGUGGUCUUCAACAACCUAAAAGUUCAACACAAAACCAUCAGAGUAGGAACUCCUUCCUGUCUGCUAAGGACUGCAUAAAAAACUUUUUCAUACCUGUAAGGCAAGAAGUAAAUGAACUAUAGUAGCAGUAAAGAUAACUAAUCAUUCAGGUAAAAUCUUGGUUUUGCGUAAUUCAGAGUGAAUAUUCUAUGUUAAUACUCCAAAUUUUGAAAAAACCAGGAAAAGUUGCACGGCUUGUUUUUUAAAGAGAGACUUACUUGCCAUUGGCAAUGUCAUACAGUCUGACCGAAUCAUCCUCGCUCGCUGUAACCAAUAAAUCACUUGUCCGAUGAAAAUCAAGUGAACUUAUUUUUCCACCCUAAAAAAUAUGCACGUGGUAAACAUCUCAAGUCAAAUCAUCCAGCAACUUCUCAGCUUCAUAAGCGCAAGAGAUUUAUUUAUGGACUGUCUUCUAAUCAAGCAUAUCCAAUAAUUAGAAGCGGCAUGGGAAUUGAAAACGUUAUAUCCUGAAGCACUACUAUGUACUGUACCGAAUCAAACAUACACACAAAAAGGGAGAGAGGAUUAUGCUUACAAAAUCCGAGAAUACGGCUGCAACUGCCAUACUGCGAACAGUGUCGUCGUUGAGUUCUGGGAGUGACGUCAUCCUGAUUCCGACGACAGACGGAGAGACGAGGGGUUGGGGGGAAGGGGGAAAGGAAUAGCUGGCAUAUGAAGUCGCGCAGUUUGAAGUACUAAUAUACGCAUUUUUUCCGUUAAAGUAGGGUUUAUAUAUAUAUAUAUAUAUAGUUAAAUUUAAGUCCGUUUGGUUUGUGGGAUAACGUAAUAUUGCAUUAAUUAUCAUGUAUCAUCUCGAGAGAUGGUAUUAGUUAUCUCGAAAUAACUAAGAAAUAAGAUGAUGAAAUAUAACAUAAUAUGAAUUUUAAACUAAUUUAUCAUUAUAAAUAAUAUAAAUUUACACUCUCAUAAUUAUGUAACCUUAUUCUCGAUAAUAUAACAUAAAUGGACCAAUUUGCACUUAAUGCUGACAUUACAAUAUUUGAAUUAAUUUGCCUUGCAAGUGACACAAAUGCAUAUUGAAUAUUAUACAACCAUACUCUCACAUAAUAAUAAAAGGACUAAAUUGCUCUUAUUAGACAAAUUCUACAUAAAUACAAAAUCUUAUAAAUUGGAUUUCACAAUUGAGGGUUUCAACAAGUUCAAGAUUGCUCAAAGAAAUAUUUUCUAUAUUGGUUUAAGUUUGGUUCAUUUAGGAUUGUAAUUGAGUGGUAAACAUAAAAAUAAAAAUAAUUUUAAAAUAAUAAAAAUAUUGAAUUUUCUUAUUUGUAUUUUUUUAAAAAUAAUCAAGCUUUCCCUUUCUGUCUCUCUCUUUCCCUCGUCUUUCUAAUUUUUUUCAAUAUUAAUAAGAUUACAAAGAAAAAAGAAAUUAAUAUUUUUUUUAAUUUUCCUUGAUACUAAAAUGAGAAUAACCUCUCUAAAUUUUUUAUUAUUUUUAUUGUACAAAGAGGAAUGCACUUUCUUCUAAACAAUGUUAAGUUGGUUUAAUAGUGGAAUAAAUUGUCUAAAAAUUAAUUUUUAACUUGCUAAGUUGGUUUAAUUGCGAAUAAGUUGUUUAAAAAUUAACUCUAAGAGAACUAAUAAUAAGAACAUAGUUUACGAUGAUAAAGUGAUAAUAAAUUUAAGAGCUAGACACGUUUUUUCACUUGAAUUAACAAAUAUCAUUAAGUUUGAUCGUUAAUCUUGAAUGUAAAGUAAUUAAAAAAUAAUAUUAAAAAGGAAAUCGAUAUUAACGUCAAACAUAGAGUUAUAACAAUCAUUCAAACAAUUACCUGUUGAUUAUGGAUGGAGUAAAUCAAGACAAUUUUCCCAUUGUUAUUAAACGCAUGUGAGGAAUUUCAAAAAGUGAUACUUAUAUUUAAACUGUGCAGUGAAUCUGUUUUUUUAUAUAUUGUAUAGAUAUUUAUCCUAAGUCCUCCUACCAACUUCAACAAAGAAAUAGAAAAUUUCACUAUUCUGUAAUUAAUUCCUUUGUUGUAAUUGAUUUGUUAAUACGUAUUCUUUAUUUUCAUUUUUUCUUAAAAUAUGUGUACAAAUAGAGCGUGCCUUAUCCAUUAGCAUUUGGAUUGCUAAAUUAUGCAAAAUAAUAUUUCACUUGUAUCAUAAACACAUUUUCAAUCAAAUUUUUUUUAUUUUACAUAUAUUACAUCACAAAAAGUACUAUAGUAAUUAUUUCAAAUAAUACUCUAUCAAAACAUACAAUUUUUACAUCAACGUAAAAAUAAUAAUAGUAGUAAGAGGCCUAAAAUAAAUGUAAAAUAAUAACAUCACUGGAUAGUGGAAUUCCUUCCAAAUAAAGGGUAUUUUUGGCAAAUAAUAACAUUCAGAAAAGCGGUGCUGCUUCUUACGAGAUCACGUAAACGUGGCUUUCUGCGUACGAGGAGACCGACAACGAUGUCGGGUCGAGCGUUAUACCUCCGCAUCCCUUGCUUCUAACCUCCAGUUUUCUUCACCUUCCUCGUCGGUAAGCCCCAGUCUAGGCGUCCUCCCACUCCGCUCUCCACUCUCACUCUGGAUGUUCUUUGUUUCUUUACUUCCUCUCGGCAGUAGUCCAUAGCAAUAAUGGACGCCUAUAAUCCUCUACUGGAGAGAACACGUGUCCCCCAACCUUGCUUACAAAAAUUUGCAGUAAUCUCAAUCUUUGAGAAGCUCCGAAACGCUCCUCCUCACCUAGACCCGGAUUCCGACCCGGGAAGAGAAGCCAUUACUUACUGCCUCCACUCCACCUUCGCCGGCGUAGUUGACCAAUCGGUCCGGGAAGUAUGCCGCCUCGUGAAAGACUCUAAAAUGGACCUCUCCCGCGGAUUGUUGGAGCUUCAGUCCGGCCUUGAAGCAUCCGGUCCUCGUUUCGUUAAUCUCUUCGUUAAAGCCCUAGGAUUUCUCGUUAGUUGUGGGUUUCAGAAAAAUCCUUCUUCAUUUCGGUUUCAAUCACCCGAAACCCAUCCGUUCGUCAAGGUAACAAUGACUUUGCAGUAACUGAGUUUUUUAUUUUAUCAGAUAAUUUGAUUUUUUAUGUUUUAGCUUCUGGUUGCAGAUUCUUUCUUGUCGAGUUGAAGUUCAAUGUGAGCUCGUGCAACAAGUUGGUAAUUUCAUGGUGAAAAAUAAGCAUUUGGGGAUUACUAAAGUUUGUGAUUUCUUGAGGCCUUUGUUAAAUUACUCAUUUAUUCAAGUACCGGUUGUGGCUUCUUUCCGUUGUUUUGCAACGAGCUUAGUGUCGUCCAUCACAUCUCUCAGUUGUUCCUUCCCUCCGAGGCCAUUCCGGUUAUUAAGCUGUUGAUGGGAUGUCUCAGAUUUUUUCCACGUCGAGAUGCACAAGUAAAUGAAUUUGUUUCAAGUUUCUGUAUUGACUAAUUUUUUUUCUUGACACAAUGAACGAAGUAUUUUUAUCUAACUUCAUUCUCAGCUAAUUUCUCUCGUUUAAUCUGCAGGACCUUGCUGUCCUUCUCCAGCUUCUUGAAUGCACCGUGGAUGCCUAUGUGGUUGUUCUGAGGCAGCUGGUGGGAAUGAGAUUGGUACUCUAUUAAUAUUCUAACUGUCUUAUUAAACAGAUUCUUAUUGCAUCUAGUUGUAUUUUAUCACUCGGCACAAGCGCCCUGUGGGUGGCUUCUAUUUGAUUAGUCAUUUUGGUUCUGACUGAUUUGAUUGAUUUUAGCUGGUACACGAAGUUCAAUUAUGUGGUCUGGAACUGGUUGAGGCCAUCUUUUCACUGCAUAAAGAUCUUCGCAUGCACUUACAUGGAGUUGAGAACAUCUCGGAAAUGUCAAGGCAUUUGUUGGCUGUCCAGAAAGACUUAGGCUUGAGUUAUUUGCCUGAUUUUUCAUCAGUAAUAUUAUCCUUAAUUAUACCUCUCAUUCAGUCUGAGCUGGAGCAAGAACAUAUUGCUAUACUGAAGCUGCUGCUCUUUCUCUUAGAGUGGAAACUGGAAAAUGGUAUGCUUGUUAAUUAUGCCUUGAUUAUCUUAGUAGGUCUCAUCAUAUCUUUCUCACGAUCAUCUUAAGAAUUAGUUUUCUUUAGCUAUAAAUCUCCUAUGGAUACACACGUUCUUAUGUUCUAGCUUGAAUGAAUGUAAUUGUCUUAGAAUUUAGUAGUCUUUGCAUUGAAGUAUUUAUUUUCUCUUUUUUGUCUUCCCUUAGAGGUCUAGAAAAAUUAAGAGAAUCUGACAAUCUGUAAUCUAGUUAUAUAUAUGUAUGUAUGUAUGUAUAUGAUGUGUGUGUGUAUAUAUAUUUCAUUUUUUCAUCUUGGCAAUUGAUAUUAGUAAAUCUUUUGGUAGUCUACCUCGUUAUUAUUGAACUUUUUCCAUUUAGGUGCACUAGGGUUCUUCCCUACAGCUUUUCCUUUGUGGUUGCAUUCAAUGAAUAUAUUUCAUUUGUAUGCAAGUCCAUCUGAGAAAUCUAUUAAUUACUUCCCCCUCUUACAUCUACGUGUCUGUGCCUUAAUAGUUUACGGCCAUGUUGUUACUGUUUUGGAGUUUUGUUCUGGAAACCUACAAUUAAGAAAUUAUGUGGCUACAUACAAAUAAAAUAUAGAAAAAUUUAACAAGACUCGAGCUUGUGAUAGUUAUCUAUAUUCCUUUGUGCUGAUUUUGUUAUUGCCUGAGCAUAUUCUCUUCAACUACUUUCUAAUUGCGUUUCUGCAUUUUUUUGUUUCUCAGCUUUACUCAGAUAAUGAAGUACAUGAUCUAUUUAAUUUGCAGUGUACAAUGUCACUAGAGCUGCAAGCAACUAAACGAGGAGCUUUUGUUCAUUUUUCCAGUCAUUAACAUCAUGUCAUCACCAAGUAUAGUUGUUAAGAAAGUAGCAGUUGCUGUAAUUUCUUCUUUGGAGAAUAUCUUCAUAGAUUUGUUGGCUUCAACAAGGAGUGGCAGGGCAACUGAGAGGAAAUUUCCCUCUAUUAGCACACCUGGAUGCAUUAUUUAUAGGUUUCUCCAUCAUUUAUGGUUUCAGGUUUGUUUCUAUGGUAUUUCUGUGAAGCCAUCAUUAUUUCAUCUCUUUGACCUCAUUAGUUUAUUUUUUGUAUAACCAAACCCUUUCAAAUGAAUGCAUAGAAAAGUGGGCAAGGGAGAGUCGAGAGAACUAUUUUCUUAUUUCUAGUGCAAUAUCUGCUUUGCUUCUGUUCCUUUGGCUACUUUAUCAUUUGAUUAGAAUUAUAUUGUGUUUGACUCAACACGGUUCCUGCAUGAGAUCAUGCUCUGUUUGUUAAAAUCUGAGUUUAGCUGUUUCAAUUUGUUUACCUGAAUUCGUCAUCAAGUCAUUGUUUUGCCUGCAUUCUUCCAGUAGUAGUUGUUGGUGAAGUUUAUGCUAAGCUAUGGUGGAACAUUAGGCAUUUGUGUAUGCAAUCUAGUUGCGUACCUUUUAAAUGAUGUAACUUGUCGCUAAUUGACCUGUCCUUUCAGGAUCCAUCUUCAUUAUCUUGUGCUUUUUAUCUCAAAGUUUCUUCUACUGAAUCCUAUAUUGACGAGGGAAAUGAUACACCCAAAUCUUGCACCUCUUUGCUGGGACUAUUCUUUGCAAAUCGGGAAAAAAAGAAGUCCAUUCAACCUCUUUCUAUGUUUCAGCAGAUAUUUAUUUCAGGUAGCUACUUGUUUUUCAUUCAUACAAGUUUUUCAUCUUGCACAUGAUUUCAUGUCUAAACCUGCUAAAAUUUUUUGUGCUGACAGAUACUUCCUUCUUCCUUGGUGCUAUUGCUAGUGUACUUCUUAUGCAUCAGAAAUUGGGGAACUGUUCAGUUGAUCUCUUGGCUGUUACUGGCAAUAUGAAUCCUGAGCUUGGAGUGUCACUGAUGCUAGUCAUUCUGUUUUGCAUUCAUGCAUUUUCUACCAAAGAUAAGGAUAUUGAUUUCCACAGCAUGUUGGUGAGUUUCGAUUGACUUUCACAGCACAUAAUCAUGCCUUCUGAUGCUUCCUCAUACUUCCCUGUGAGAUGAGUGGUUUAUUAUGUUCUGUAAGGGUUCAUGUUUUUUUUAUUGUGUUUUUAGUUUCUGGUAAUCUAAUAAAAUCUUCUAAAUUAAAACUGCAGCUGAAACUACUUGCCAAGCUUCCUUCACUUGCUUCACAUUCCGCAAUGCUACCGCUGAUAGUUCAGACUGUAACACCAAUGCUUCAUAAGGAUGCAAAACCGUAUGCUCAUAUGUGUUCUUUUGUGUUUCUCAAUCAUGCACUAUCCGUGCUGGACAUUAUAUCUGGGGAAUUGCAGUGUUGAUUGCCAUUCUUUAUACUCUUACUUUGGAACUUACAGAGAAAGCCACCUGAUGUUUCAGUUACAUAAUGUGAAAGUAUUUGUCAGUUGGACUUAUUUUAUGUACUCUUUACCCUCUGUACCUGUUAUUUGGUGCAUUAUUCUUCUGAUAUGUGGGUAUUAAUCAGAUCUGCUUGUUUUCUUAGCAUUUUUAUUAUUCAUAAGAUCUGCUUAUUUUGUAGGUUUUAUAUGCUACUGCUACUCGGUUGAUAUGUAAGACCUGGGAGAUUAAUGACCGUGUCUUUGGGAAUCUACAGGUAAUUAUUUCAGUUGUCCUAUCUGUCACCUGGCAUCAUUGUUUCUAAAUUUGAAGUAUUUACUUAAUUUUUGAAGAAAUGCAAAGCACUGUCCACCAUCUAUGUCUUGUUUAUAACAAUUAUUGUCAAGCUUUUGCGCAUAAAUCGUGAUCAUUAUACCUAUGAUUUGGCUUCCUCAUUUGUUUAGAAAAAAUUAAUUUUGAUUCCACCAUUGCAGUGAAGAAUAUACUAAAAAGCUGUGUAAGUUGAGGAAAAUAUCAUAACUCAGCUGCUCGUAAGGUUUAAAUCUCACCCACAUACUCGCAAGGAGUCUUAACUAUAAGCUUCUAAAUUAGAAGUCUUUGAAGUUGCAGCUUGUCUUUCAUUCUUGGUAAAACCAUUGUCAUCCUGCUCUUCUGACAUUUUUUAUUCUUCUCUCUGUUUCUCUUUGGUGAAGAUAGAUUAUGAUGCAUUCAGUAAAAGUUGCAUCAGGACAAUUACUAUUAAUAAGCCUGAAUUUUUGCUCCAAACUGGACAUAGGAUUACACUGAGAAAGAUGGACACCAUUCAGAUGUAGCGUAUCUUGUGAGCUAGGAGGUACGGCAUAAUGGGAGAAGUUAUAUAUAGAUGGAGCCAAUCUUUUAGUAAGGUGCAAUUCCAAGUAUUGACUGGUCUGUAUAGAUGGCUAUGCUCUGUAUUUUGAUUAUGUUUCUGGUUUAUGGGAUGUUUUAGAUUCCAGUUCACAUGUUUUGAUUCUUGACCACUGCACUUGUGGUGAAAUGUUGUUAUCUAUUACUAAGAAACAAAAAGAGAAACAAUGGAAAUGAUACUUGCAAACUCCUGGGAACUUUAAUUUUCAGAUCCCUAUUCCAUUUGUGGUGCAUUUUGGGUUUAGUGUCUGGUUUUACCUCCAUUUGGACAUAUUUAAUAUGUCUUCUUGUUUUCUGUCUUUUUGGCAUAGGGAGUGCUAGGACCACAAAAAUUUGUUGAAAUGGCAACAAAGAAAGACGUCUGUAUUAGUAUGGCUGCUUCUGUGCGAGAUGUUUGCAGAAAAGAUCCUGAUAGGGGUGUGGACCUCAUUUUGUCUGUGGAGGUACAUAUGCUGGCCCUCUUUGCUGUCCUUUGUCAAGCAUGUUUCUCCAAUCUCUUUAAUGUCUGUGUUUUGAUCAACAGGCUUGCAUUGAAAAUGAAGAUCCUCUUGUUCAGUCUCUUGGAUUCCAGAGUCUUGCACAUCUUUGUGAAGCGGAUGUCAUUGGUAAUAUUAUGCUCUUGUGAUUCUUUUGUGAGUGGAAAAUAUGAGUAGCUCUACCAGUUAUAUCCUAUCUAUUGCCUUGACUACUUAGAAGUGUGAAUAAGAUUUCUUCAUCAUUUAUUCUUUCGCCAUAACGAUGAUUUGUGAGACAUAGAAUGAGUUACGCGAAUAUAAUUUUGGCUAUCUGCUGAGCUGAUGCUUUGAGUCAGAUGUUUAUUGAAAAUCCCUUCUUAAAUGUUAUGUUCUGUUUGAUUCUUGUUGUUGCUCCAAACAAUGUCUCGAUUUGGAUAUUGCUCUUGAAUAAAGAUAUCUGUCCCAUGUAACUAUUUGUCAAAUUUUUUCUAUCAGGAUUUGGGACUGAGAACUUCCCAAUCUAAACCAUUUUGCUUUGGUGAUCAUCUGUUCUUCCCCUCAUGGAAUUAUGUGAUUUUAUUGGAUUUGCUUAAAUAUUAUCAUAGGCAUUUCGCUUCUAUUUGAGGUAGUUGUGUCAGAUGUUUCUUCUCAACCUUGAUUUCUUCUGAAAGGCCCAGCAAUGAGCAAUUCCUUUACUCCUUGCGAGUUGAUAUACAAGUAGAGGGUUGGUUCAGCAAUUUUAAAUAUGUGAUUAUUAAGGUCAAGUGGAAGAACUAUUGCCCUGUAAUGUUGGUAUGCACCUUUAAGAACAUUGACGGUUGCUGACUUUGUGCAUAUACUUGGUCUAGAUUUUUAUACUGCUUGGGAUGUGAUUGCAAAGCAUGUCUUGAGGUACACAUCAAAUGCUGCUGUCGUUGCUUAUAGGUGAGCAGAAGCCCCACAAGUGUCCCUUAUCCUGUAAUAACUUGCUGUUCGAAUGUUUUCCUACAUGUAGCUAUGACAUUGGGUAAAAGAUUUGUCUUUGAGUUUUGCAAAGCACAGAUGCCAAAGGUAGAGAAUUACGUGUGAAAUACUGCUUGUGCUUAGAAAUGUACUCCUUUUAUUAUUUAUGGUCUACAUUUGUAGAAAUUUUCUUUUCCUUAUGCUCUAUUCAAUUGUUAUUGCGUACUUGUCUUGUUCAUUAUAUUCUUGAAUCAAGUGGGUAUUUUGUAAAGCAAGAUGAUUUUUCUUCCUGAAUGCCUUCCAGAUACAUGUGGUAUGACCUCAUGGGAUAACUACCAAGUUUUGUUCCAUCCCCUUCAUUCUCACUCUCCUUCAGAGUCUCUUAACGUCCCCUGGUCAACUCCCUCCAGGAGUUUUUUCUGUUUGAUCCCUCCCACCUCCCACCUCUCUCCUCUUUCCUCAAUUUACUUUGUUUCUUUUCUCCAUUUGAGCAACAACUCUUUUUCAACCCUUCACCCUUCCAUCUGUGUUUUUUCUCUUUUAUCAAGUUUGGGGAUAAAAUACAAUUAGAUUGUUCAAUAUAUCUUAAACAAAAUAUUAUGGUUCACGGAAUUUUUUUCUUUGUUUUAAUUUUUGUUGAGUGAAACUAAAAGCAACUUAAAAUGCUGUGUGAGGUUGGUUUGAUUGUGAUUGGAGACUGAAAAUGGUUGCUGGGCUAGUGGCAGGAGGGUGGAUUUGAGAUGUGAGAGAUGGGCUGUAGUAGCCCUCUCUCUCUCUCUCUCUCUCUCUGAAGUGUUUUACUUCCCUGGAGUAUUAUGUGACGUGUCUUUCUUAUUUUCUUUUUUUUCUUGGCAAAUUGCUAUGCUGUUUAUCAUGACUGGGGGUGUGGUGGUGGUGGUAGUUGUGGCGAUGUGCUGGCAAAGAGGAUGUGGGUUACAGGGGUGUGUUAGAAAGGAAAGCUACAGCCGUGAGCAGGAAUGGCAGAGGGAAAGCAAGAGAAUAAGAGGUCGGUGGUGGGGUAGGUGGAGAGAAUAAACAAAGAAAGGGAAAAAAAAGUCAGAAUGAAACAGAAUUUCUCUGGCCUCCAUCUCAUUUCCAAAUGGAUCUGGUGCAAAAUCUUUGGAUAGAAAAACAUUGCUGUUUUGAAAAUGCUUGAUUCUUUACAUGGCUUACAAAUUUUUGCAUUCUUUUCUUCUUGCCAGUCUAUGCCUUCUUUUGAGAUGGGGCAAUGGAUGCUGAAGCAUACCCUGAACCUGCUUCAGAGAUUUUAAAAAUUUUGUGGGUAGUUGGAACCUCCAGAAAUCAUGGUCAGGGUUCUUUGUGGGCAACAGCUCGAGCAACUGCAUUUAUAGCACUAACACAUUAUGAGGUUGAUUCUAUGACUGUCUGGAUACAUCUUAGUCGUCUUUUUUUAUUAAACUGAUAUUUCAAAAAAGUGUUCUACCAAAAGUACAAAUGUAGUUCGUACAAGCUUGGACAUUGUCUGAAUAUGGCAUUUUCCCUCAGGUGGUGCAUAUUUUUAGAAGCAUUCCAGAUUUUAGGGAUGUGAACCUGGAGUUUCUUUUUUCGAGACUGAUCCUGAAGUAUUAAGAGCUGUAGAAGGAUUUGAAUCUAGAAUUAUCAAUCACGAGUACAUGUAAAGAAACAUGUCCACUAUCAUCAUUGCACGUUCUCUGUAAAAGUUUGUGAAGCGCUAAAAACAAUUAAAUUUGUGACUUCUGUUUUUCCAGGAAUCGGAGAAGAUAUGUAAAUGAGCAAAGAGUCUCCAAAAGCAACGUUGAGAAGUUGCUAGAUGUUUUUCCGCAGGUUGUCUUUCCUACUGGUAUGCAAUCCUCCUCUAUUUUUUUUUUUUUACUUUACUACUGGACUAGUGGAAAUGGUGGCUUCUAUUUCAGCCUGCUUUUGUUGCUCUUUUUAUUGGCUUCCAAUGUAAAUCUUUUGUCAUUGAGUUUCUUGACCACUUCCUAAUUUUGACAACCACACUGAUAUAGCUAAUGAUGCCCAGCAUUUUGGAAGCACAGGAAUAUAUGAAAAACAGAAUAUGGCUGGGAACUUUUAUAUUGUGUAAUUUCUUGUAAAUUUUGGCAAGAUAAUGUUGAAGAUAUAUGCUUUCUUGAUAUGGUUGAGGGAUGUGCAUCUUGACAUCGUAUAUUUCAUCUGCAGGAAGCAAGAGCAGGGUAAGGGAAUUACCUGGUGCAGCUUUGUUUUGCCUUUCUUUUGCUCCUCUGGAUAUGAUAAACAGGGGAAUGUUAAAAGUAAGACAAUGUCAGCCAUUCUUAAAAUUUGAACUCUUUUACAACACAUGUACCGACAAUUUUACAUGUGUAUCGAUUUACAGGAUUUGGAAGAAGUAAAUGCUAAAUUUGAGAAUGCACUGCUAGAAAUAGCUUCCUCUCUUCAGCUCUCAAGAAAUAUUUUGGUUGCCCUUAUCACAUUGCAAUCAUGGAAAUCCUUCAUGCAAAGGUGGAUGAAAGUUCAGUUGAUGUUACUUGAUGCUAAGGCUCAUUCAACUGUGUUGGAUAGAACUUCUAAAGCUGCAAAUAACAUUCUGAAGGUUGGCUAAGAAUUUGUCAUGGCUAUGCAACUUUUAGAAGACUCCAUUUGCUCAAUUUUGAAAUCAAGCAUUUAGUACUUCCUACGUUUAAUUCUCAUGCAGAUUGUGAGGCGGAUCUCAGAUGAAUGUAUCCCUAGCUCUGCGAAAAUUUUGCUCUCGCUAUUGGUGCUCUUUGUUCGGUACAUAAUCUCUCUCUCUCUCUCUGAAAUAAUGACUUGAAUGUUUCAGUGUUAUUUGCGGAUUAAUGCAUUUGUUGGUAUUGUUUGCACUUCUUUGUGCUGAUUGCAAUUGGGCAGCCAUACUUUGUAAACAUAUUGAGAGACACUAGUAAUUGAAGGAUAGAAGGAGGUCUCUUUUUACUUUCUGUACUUAAUCAAGUAAUUAGAAUGGAUAGCUUACCAAGUUUAAUGGAAUGGACUUCUGAAAACAAUAUUUCUUUGUGCUGCAGAGUUUUGUCAAGGUUAUGGAUGUUUUAUGCUGUUUUUUUGUAAACCAAUUGAUCUUCCAUUUUGUAAUAUUAUGCCAUCUAUAAAUACUCACUGAAUCCUUUGAAGUCCAACAUAAAGUAAAUAUAUUAGUGUUAGGGCUGCUGGAAAUGGAACCAAUGGGGGUACAGAGGAUAUGCAGACAUUGUCUUGGACAUGUUGACUGUUCAUGCUUCUUUAUACCUGUCAUAAGCAUGGAUGGAAAAUAUCCACUGAUUACAUAUUAGGAAGGUGUCUUGUUUCAUUUUCUUUGUAAAUUUGCAUACUGGAGUUAUCCUGAUUCUUGGUAUGGGUCUUGGUAGUCACUUGAUCUUGUUGUAUAGUAUCGAUGUAUUUGUUAGCUUUGGAACUAGCUGUUUUUGUGGUGGUGUGAGACUUUGAUGGAUUAAUAGGAAUUUUCCAAAUUCAAGGGCUUCAUUUGAUGGUUCAAAAAUUGAGAGGCAACUUCCUCUCUUCUUGUUCUAGUGAUUUCUAAAGUUUUGACAUCUUAGAUUGCUUUUAAUCUCUUUUGUGGCUUGAUUGUGAUCUUAAGGUACGUGCUUUUUCAAUUUUUUCUUUUUCUCACAUGUUUUUUUCAGGCACUUCCCCAGUCUGUACACACUGUUAAGUCUUCUGCUUCGAAGUUUCUGUUGGAUUGGUUGUUUCAAUAUGAAACGAGUGUCGACAGUGGUCUGCUGCAAUUUCUCUUGGAUUGGUAUCAAGUUGUCUUCAUGUGACUGACUGCAAACAAAAGUAUGAAAACAUCAAGGCCCUUCUUGAGGUAUGAUUAUGCACUUGCAUAAUACGAAGCUGAUACUGCCUGAUGGGAAUAAAGUCUUGUCUUCAUCCAUAUCAUUGCUACACUUUGUGUUUCAGACAGCAAUUGCAGUGUCCAGUCGGGCAUGUCUAAGUCUUUUUUGAGCCUCUGCGGUUAGGCUUGAUAACUUUAUAUGUAUUAUUAAAUAACGGGUUGAUGACUAAUUAACUAGAGAAUUUACUGGGAUUAGCCCAUUUGUCGAAGGAUAUAUGUGAUGCUUUUUUCCUUUUCACUAACCCAUUGGGAAUAAAUAGUUCUUCCGGAAAAGGGGAACGAUCAUAUUUACCCAGAUCCUCCAAAGUACAAAGUACUAAGGUGGGAAAGUAAAAUAAGAUAUCUGCUUGGGGAAAAUGGUGAGAUAAUUUGAACUUUUGAGGUAGGAUUCCAUCUAUACUUGGGAAUGUAAAUUUUUCCUAAAAAUAAAAGAUCUGUAUACUUGAAUGGCUUAAGUUAGUCGUUUAGCAUGUCCAGAAGUCCGGAUGAAGAUUUGGAAACUAAUACAACUUGAAAAACAAAAGGUAAUUGGAAUUGAUAGUUUUGAGAGUUCUUUACUUCAUGAGAUUGUGACCAAGUCAUUUUCUGUAAGACACAAAAGCCAAAUGCAAAUUCUUGACCUCUUUUAGCAGGGUAAAUUUUGUUGGAAGCUGCUGUAAUACAUUAACAUGAUAUGAUCUUUUUCAGGUUUUAUCAAUUAGCAAAAACACCCUUGUAAAAGGAGCUUGUGGAGUUGGAUUGGGUUUUUCUUGUCAAGAUCUUCUUACGAGGGUUGAUUCUGAAUGUAAUCCUCAGUUGGAGAAGGAACACAAGAGACAGGAAGUAGAAUUAUUAAGGAAUAUCAUUGGGGUGUUAGCCAGGAGUCUAUGUCAGUUCGCACAAUCUUCUGCUGAUAUACUACAACAGCUAGCUGCAUGUGUUCCAUUUGUAAUGGAUGAAUGUGAUCCAGAUAUCUCAGUUGAGUUGGUGCAUGAGAAUGAUGAUGAUUUGGAGGAAGACAUAUGGGGCGUUGCUGGACUUAUCUUGGGUUUGGGAAGUUCUGUUAGUGCAUUAUAUAGAGCUGGAGCUAAUGAUGCUGUUAUAAACAUAAAGGAAUGGAUUUUUUCUUGUAUUCCAGACUUAAAUCCUUCAUUACAGAAAGAUAUGAUCUUUGAAAGACGUGAGAUGGUAUUAUCUGUUGGUUCUUGUCUUGCUCUUCCUAUUGUAGUGGCUUUCUGCCAACGAGUAGAACUGAUUGAUGAUAGCGAGAUAGAGCAGCUGGUGAGUCAUUUUGUUGAGUUGAUCUCUGAGCUAUUAUCUGUUGAAAAUUCUGGCACCUUCAACCAGAGCUUGUUGAUGGUAUCUUGUGUUGGAGCUGGAAACCUUUUGUCCACCAUCAUGAAUGGAGGGGUGCACUCCUUAAAGGUUGAUAAUAUUAAAGAAAUACUAUCAUUGCUCAGGAAAAGUUAUUCUAGUCCUCACCCACCAUAUGUCCAUCUGGGAGCGAUACUUGGAAUAGUCUCUGCAUUAGGGGCAGAUAUUGGAUUACUGGCUCAAUAUGCCCCUUAUUUGCAAGCAGGCAUCUCAUUUGAUCAGAAGGUGAUUAUAAACUCUUGUAUAUAGAUUCUUGUAGCCAAAAUAUACGUAGUUUUUUCAGUUUUCUCAAAUUAUGGUAAACAAAUUCUUUUUGGCUUCUUGCUACUAGCUAAAUAUAGACAUGGUAAAUGUACGUGGUCAGAAGCAAGUAGAUGGGAGAUAAGAGACUUGGGAAUUAAUGUUGUUAUUGAGGUGCAUAUUAGUGAUGGAAGAUUAACUGAUUAAGUAUGAAAAAGGAGGAGGCUAACUUUAUGGUUGGAUUAGCAUGUGUGGAGCACGUAUUGUUUACUCUAUAGUCUGACAUGCGUAUCUCAGUGUCUCCUAGCAGUUUAGAGGAAGAAGCAAGAAACAUAUUACUCAACUGACCGCCUUUCUUUUGUCAUGUUUGGUUAUCAGCUGGAAUCUUCUCGUAUCAGGGGUCCGUUACUUUCAAACCCAUUCUUUGAGCCUGAAUUGACAUCAUUAGUAAGGGAGAUCUUUCAUAUCGCACAAAGUUCUGAUAACAAUCAGUUGCAACAAUUUGCGGCUUGGGGAAUCUCAUUUCUUGGCAUUGUUCAUGGUUCAGACCACCUCAAAAGGAGAAUACUUUUGAAGAGGAUGCAGUAGGCUCAGUCUCUCAAAGGCUUCCGAAGGACAGUCUAGUCAUCAAAGUCUCUUUGUGGUUAAUGCAUCUGGACCCCGAAGUAUGUCAUUUCAUGCCUUGCUUAAUUUCUUAUUUUCCCUAUAUUUCCAAUUGAGAUUUUUUCUUGAAAUACAUGUACAAGAUGAGAUAUUUGUUAAUAUUCAGCCAGUCAAAUUUUAUUAUCUCACAGAUUUUGAUCUGCAACUUCAAAGUAAAAGCCUGCAGUGUAUUGGACCUGAAUACUAAAUUGCUUGCUCUUUACCUGAAUAGCAUAUCUGGCUAAGUACAGAACUAAAUGUUACCAUUUAGCAUGUGCUGGUGUGAUUAUGUCUUUUACAUGUUUGGUUUAAAUUUAGUUCAUGUAUGACACAAAUUAAGUCAAGCCAGGAUCUUACACUCUUCAUUCUGCAAUCUGGGGGAGUAAACUGCCCUUACUUUAUGCCUUGGCACAUAACACCAAGAAUUUCUGAUAACCUAUCAUGAUGGCCUCUUGUGCACAAACACACCUUAUGCCUAACUGCCAUACCAAUCCUGCCUUUAUAAAUAGGACAGCAGAGCAGACAAUAACACAGUCUAGGAAGGGGAGGACGAUGUCAAAGCGAAAGCAAACUUGAAGCUAAUUCUGAAUGUUUGAUAGUGCAAGUGAAGGAAGGAAAGGAAGAUAAGUGUGGGAGAUAAGACUGAUAUGGUUGACUACCCAGGGCAUUUGUUAGAUGCUUUCCUGUGUCUCUUUGUUCAACUCAUCUAUCAGCAUAUAGGAAGAUCUGUGAUGAGAGAGAGAUGAAGUACUGAUCCGGCAAUAUGUCAUAAGAAAGAUCUGUUCUGGUGGUUAUCCUGUAGGUGGUUUGCAAACAAUAUGUAUAGUGAUGAUAUCUGAUCAUGAAACAAAGUUGAAUCUUAAUAGCCAGAUGAAACGCCUAGAAAUGCUUUUCCAAAUGAUUCUAUUUGCUAUGCUGCUUUCUGCCUGGCCUUAGUUUCUUCUUUCGAUAAUAAUUGCAUCCUCGUACCAUACCUCCUCUUUUUUUCUAGACUGAUGAGGGUAAUGCCAGAGUAACUAUAUUGUACAAUAAGAUCUUUAAGAUUAGUCCUUGUUGUUUUCCUCUUUAGCAUUUCUGUCCUUGCAUUUUUUGACUCUCUCAAAGGUAGUUUCUAAGUAAACAGGACACAGCUCAACAAAACCUUGUGCCUAUCGUCUAGGAUAAGAUACACGAGACAGGCAUAUAGCUUAGUUCAGGAGAAGACUUCUUAGACUCUGGGUUGCCAUGUCAUGUCCUUCAGUCUUUGCUUGGACUUUAGGAUUAUGUCGAAACUGCGGUGCUACAGAGAGAUACUGCUAUUCAAACAUUGAAGGAGCAACUUUACUUGAAAUGACCAACUUCACCACUAACUUUGAGCAGGUGUCUUGUUUUCUACUUCUGAUGUUUCUGCUGCUUUCAGAUGCAGAUGGGUGCCACUUCAAAUGUUGUUUCAGUAAUAACUGCAUUGCGGUGCCUUUCAUAUGCCUCUAGAUUGCCAAAGUUGGAUUGGGGAGCAAUCAUUAGAAGGUGCAUGAGAUAUGAGGACCAAGUUGCUAAAUUGUGCACCCCCGAGUCUUCCGUUAAGAAAGGAGUUCUACGACAGGAAUGUUUAUUAUUCUCUUUAUCGCACGCAAACCAGUUUCAUUCACUCCUUGUAUUUCUUGAUGAGCUCUUUGACCUUUCCAGGUUUAGGACACUUGACCUGAAUUUGCAGUCAUGUUUGCUUUUGCAUCUGGCAGACCUGAUCAAGAUAUUCUCACUUUCAAGGGUUGAGAAGCUAUUUGAUGAUGUAACCAACUACUUCUCUUGGUUAGUCUCUUCUGAACAGUACAGCACGAAGAGAAAAGCUUGUUAAGGGCUUCCUGUUGGAAGGGUCUCUACUUAUGUUUGGAUGAAGAGUUUCUUGAUGCCCAACAUCAUAUGUCGAACCUUGAGAACUGCAUGAAGAUGCUCUUUGCUCUUUUACCUGCCGUGGCCAUUGGCGAAUCAUGUUCUGGAAUUUUGAAGGAGUGGUCUGAAGCAGUUAGGUGUCUAAGAAAGGCUAACCAGGGAUGGCUAUUAGAUCUUCUGAAGGUAUUGGUUCAAGUCUUCUUCUUCUUCUUCUUUUUUUUUUAUUUCCUUUGCCAUGAGGUUCUCUCUCUCUUUCUCCUUUUUUUUGGGUGGUUGGAUGGGCUGGGGGGUUGGGGAAAGGGAGUUUUUGUUGUCAGGCUUUUUGUCAAAUUGUAUUAGUCUGCCCAUUUUUUAUAUCUUAUUCUAGAAUCACAUAAAUGAAUGAUCUGUUGGAGAUAUAGUAUUAUGCCGACUGUUUGUUCACAUGUGGGGCUUAAUGUGUUGAUAUAGGUUUGAGUUAUUGUGUUUACGAGGUAGAAAUUACUUUUUGCUUGAGCUAGCAUUGUAAACUAUAGCCAUCUUGUGCUACAUGUAGGCACCUGAGGGGACCUUCAUGGAGGACAAUGGCCAAUUCUUUGAAGUUGUGAAAAAGAUUCAAGCUAAAGCGAGGCUGGCGCGAAUUGGUUCCAUCCCCUUAAAUGAGCUUGGGAGAUUGAAAGCUUGUAUGCUGAAUACUAGAUCACAAGGUCAGACUGUAAAAUUUAUGUUAGUAGAGCAUAAAGUAUAGGAAGACCAUUAAAUUGUGGUACAGCACGGCAAACAUUAAGUAUAGGGGGACCAAAAAAAAAAAAGGAAAAAAAAGUACUUCACUGGUUUGUUCUGAUGGUUACCUGAUCCUGGAGUGUUCCUUAUAGCAUCUAUACAUUAUGCAGCCAGCUCCAAACCCCUGGGAAAUAAUAGUAAAGAAUCAAUACUUGAAAAGCAAAUUGAUUUCUGACUUCAAUGUUUUUUGCAGUUAUUUGGAAUGUUCUGGUGGAAGUUGCUGCAACCCUGCAACAUGCAGAGGAAAGCAUCAAAAGACAGUGGCUUCUCGAUACGCUGCAAAUUAGUUGUGUGACGAGUUAUCCUUCCACGGUAUGUAGUGACCUGUUGGGUUUUAAGUUUCAGGUGGCUAAUUAUGGUCUUAACCAUAGAGAUAAAGAACAAGAGUUGCUUCAUUUUAUCAUAUAAAAAGCAAAGUGGGAUGACUAAAUAAGUGGAGUUACGUUUGAUUAUCACAAAAAUGUCCAAAUCCCAGAAUGCCUACUACCAUUAAAAGCUUUGACUGCACUGCAUGUUCUUUUCCUUCUUUUGCAGGCGCUGCGAUUUCUUGGCCUUUUGUGCGGUAACUAUUGCAAGUAUAUGCCUGUUCUGGUUGUGGAUGCGGACACCGUACUGAGUGAUCUACCUGUCACGCUUGCAAGUGUCCUUUUAGAUUGCAGUUUUGGUGGUGUAGCAGAAGCCGUAGUGCUGUCAUUGUGGACGUUGACAGAACGACUUUAUGCUUGGGCAUUGUGCAGAUCAAAGGAUAAUUAUACACCUUCUCAAAGGUCUAUUGACAGGACUGAGGAUGAGAUGGCAGCGCUUCUGUUGAAAGUGACGCAUCAUGCCUGUGUUCUUCUAAAUAACCACCUGCCUGUAGACAAGCGACUUAAGCUUGCUAAUAUGGUGGUCCCGGACACAUUAUUGUUCAUCGAGACGUAAUGUGGGUCAAUUGUUUUCAGCGGCUACCAACGCUGCGAUGCAGACCCAUCCAGUUCAUAGAAUUGUAUGUGAUAAAUACUGGCGGGCUUUUGGUCCGGUCAAAGUGUACGAGGAACUUGGUUGCAUUAGCCCGCCCGGGAACUGUUUCUUUCACGAGAUGACGUCUGAUUUCGUUCCGGAAGCGAUUAACUCCUGCAAAUCGUUUCCUUUACCUAGAAUCUGAUGGCCGGUAGCUAAGUUCUCAGUGUACUAAUGGGAUUCGGGGCAGUUAAUGGUCCAGAUCGGAUCAUAUCGAUUCGGUCAUGGGCCAUUCAUUUUACAAUUACAAAAAUUUGAAAUGAACCUUGAAUCCAUUUUGAUGAGUUGGAUCCUCGGAAUUCAAUUAAUCGGCGGCGGGUGAUCAUUUCCGACGUAACACGACGUCAGCCACAACUGGCAACUAACUAACUAGUUGAAUUGGGUCGUUGCUCGGAUGAUCACCACCGAGCAGCCAUCCGCUUCAAGUGUGAAUGAAAGAUUUAAAAUGCUUUCUUCCAUUUAAUUACUGUGAAUGAAAGAUUCCACUUCCAUUUAAGUACUGCAAGAAAUAGUAGUAUGUAUGUCAAUGUUUAUUACAGCUCCAACUACUGACUGACGACGGCUCAUUCGUCUUCAUUUCUUCUUCCUCUAACCACCUUUAUCUCAUUUCGUAUGCAUGCAUGCUAACACAAUUUUCAAUGCUCAUUUCACUAAUUAAUCUAAUCUUAUAAAAAAAUAAUAAUAAUUUCUGUUACCAUGUAAUUCGGCGCGCUUUGUACCAGUAGAGCAACAGAAAAGAGGUAAAGAAGCCAAUGUACCUUUGUUAUAGAUGAAACUUUUUGAGCUAAGUUUCUCAAUUCUAAAAUCUUUAAAAUUCAAAAAUUAAACAAUUUGUUACAACUAACAAGCGUACCUGAACAGCUUAGAGCUGAUCAUCAGGAUAUUCCCCCUUUACAUUUCCAAAAUAUAUAAGAGAUUAAAACAAAAUUGAGACCAGAAAUUGCUAGGACACUUGAAUCAUUUUACUCGUAAAAAAAUACCUCUCUGUACAACUCCGACAAUUAGGCCACGAUCAAAAACUGUCAAGGCGAAUUUUUCCCACCAGACACCAUUGUUGAAGUAGAUUCCAAAUCUUCAUCCCGGUCCACAUGCUCUGCAUCACUUGCUUUUAGUUUCAGAUUUUGAGAUUCAGCGUUUCCCAAGGUAUUUGCGGCCUGGAUUUCCACUUCCCCAGCAGAUUGAACAGUAGCAUCAGAAGACCAUUUCGAGGAAGCACAAGGGUGUUCCUUCCCACUAUUGUCCCUGCUUGUGCUACUACAAGACAGCCACCCAAACUGCAAAUUUUGGCCUUGCCAGCAUUUACCAUGUAAAAAUGCCUUUUCGGCAGAGCGGCGAGUCGUAAAAGAUAUACGACCUGAAACUUUGGAUGCCUCUGACUCGUUAUCACCAUCUUGAGGCUUGGUAUCUUCCAGUUCGACAACAGAGAGAUCUCCAAAAACAGAGAAAUGUUCCUUCAGAUUGGAAACCUAGUAGAAAUAAACAAGUUAUCAGCACUCACAAUCUGACAAGACAUCAGGGACAACAAAAUAUUUAUGCAGAUAAUUCCAACCGCAUGAAAACAUACAAAGUCCCAAACUACAACCCCGAUUUUGAUUGGUGCUGAUUAAAGCAUACAUCCAAUUUUAAUUGGAAAAAGAAGAAAAACUCUGAAAAAGAAUAAUUCCAUAAUCUUUUACAGUGAAUCAUAUAUUGGCGCAAGUACUAAAAACAAUGUCAUGCUCAGUAUGAGAAUCUAAUAGACUUAGAAGCAUAAAACUCAGUACAAGGUACGACCUGCUCAAGCUGAUUCUUACAAAAUCAAAUUAAGGAAGAAAAAACAGUCCUCAGAGCCAGCAGCAUGACUCUUGGGGAACUGUUUAGUGUGAAAAAACUGUGCAACAUAUGGCAGCUCAUUGCAAGGAAAUAAAAUUAUCUGUAAGCAAGGACAUGAAUAUGUCAGGAAAACCAAAAGAGAGAUUACAUUAGCAAGACCAGCUGGCAGAGGUGGAAGAAUUUUGAAUGCAGUGGGGCGGUUAUCCAGUUUGAAUCUGUUGAUGACCAUUGGUGCUCCUAAAGGUGCCAAUGGGCGAAUUGAGGGUUUCAAAAUUGAGGAUUCUGGCAAUGCAAUAGUAGAAUUAAUUUUUGGACUGCGGGCCACAGCACUCUCACCAGCUCUGCCACUAUCCAUUGUCGUAUCUGCUUGUGGUGAUGAAAUAGCAGUACCAGAAUCACUGGGCCUCAACAUUUCAAUUUUAGCAACAUCAACCACCAUGCCUCCUUUUUGCCCCUUAGAAGGCUGAUCUAAUGCUACCUCCUCUUUAAGACCAGUGGCCUGCAAAAACUGAACCCUUGAGAAAAGAAAUCCAAAUGAAAAGCAGUAGGUCAGUUACUAUACAUACAAUUUUAUGGAAAUAUACCAUACAUAUUCCCUACUUGUAACCAAGAUAUCAUCACAUUAUACAUAAACAAUAUGUCCUAAUUCACUUUCCAAUCUUUUCUUAAAGUGUGUUUUAGUAUGUAUCUUGAGACUCACUGCCAGAUACUUUUUGACUUGCAACUAAGAUGUGAUGCUAGACACCAGGUAGGAGAUCUAAGAUAAAAAAUCCAGACAACAGGAAAAUACAAAAUUUCCAGAAAAGAAAAUAUGCUCUUGACAACUCAUGAAAUUUCUAAUAGAAAGAAGUAACCAGUACUUGUUUCUCCAGUUUAUUUAACUGGCGCUUGAACUCAUUCCUUUUUUGGUCAAGCAUUUCCUGCUUCUUUCGCACUUGUUCCUUCAAAAGCUCUAAACUCUCCAGCUUCUUUUGCAAAGGAGGUACAGCUUUGGGGCCAUUGGUAGCCACAGGCUUUGGAUGAUCAGAACCAGGCAAAGGAGAAAUGGCAGAAUUGGCAAUACUACUUUUAGACCCUGAUAUUUGGAUAUUAUCUUUUCCUUUGGUGGUAACAGAUGGAUAGGUAGGACCCCCAGUAAAGGUCACACCACGGGGAUUAGCAUGUAUAUUACCAACACCACCUGUUCCAUCAUCAGGUAUGCUGUCCCGGUUAGCCCACCACAGCUUGAUAAAGCGAUUGCCCAUUACAGCAUCAGGAGCCUUCAGAGCAGCUUCUGCUUCUUCCCUCUUAGAAAAUUGAACAAAAGCUCGUUCACUGUUCGAUGGGAUAUAAAUGUCAAUAACCUCACCAAAUUUUUGAAAAUGUAAAAGAAGCGCUUCCCUUUUGUUUUCUUUCUGAGGAACACCACUGACAAACAGAGUACGAAGUGCCUUUUGAGAUGGUUUUCUAAUACUACGUCCAGAAUCACCAUGUGGCUUUGAAGACAAGCCUAAAACUUGCAUGCCAACUUCAUCUGCCUUCGUCCGUCUUCCAUGUAGGGCAAUGGCCUCAGCACCGUUAAUGGACUCCAUGUCCUUUUUUGCUUCAUUUUCUAGAUGACUAGGGGAAUUCAAAGUAGAACCAAUCUUCUCCCUCACAUCCCCCCUAUUUCUUGAACUGCCAAUCCUUCCCCAAACAGAGGAACUUUGACAGCCUGUAACAGCCCCAGCAUUUCUUGCCGGACGCUCAUUAUCAGAACCAUCAAACUGUCCAACUGAAAGACGAUCUGAACAAUCUGCAUCCACCAGAGGCUCAACCUUAUCCAGAUUGGAUGGAUUUAGGGCUAGAAGUUCAGGUGAUGUAUCAGGACAAUCACUUGCCCAUAAAGGUUGGUCAGGAUCAUACAGAUCAGAUCCUCCUGCCAUAGAACCACCAACAAAAGCACCAUUCAAACCUAAUCCAUCAUCCCCUAUUCCAGGCUUGCUAUUUUUGCUCUGUAGACAUUUGCUAUUCAUGAAUGCGCCAGAAGAAGAAUUUGCAGGUAGAGGUCCUUGUCCAGCAGGUGUUCCCAAUAGAUGUGCACUAGGCAAUGAAACAGGAAGAUUAAACUGUGAAAGGCUCUGCAAUGCAAGAAAAGAGAAGUCUAGUUAAAUGCACAUGCAAUAACUUGCCCAAGAAUUGUUCAUAGCAGUGUAUUGUAUGGUGGAAUCAGAUUUACUACUUCAGAAAUCUAAAUCAAAUAGAAAAAAAAUAAGAGCAUCUUUUACUUCCUCAAAAAGAAAUUCAUGAAUAGUUAAAAGGAGCAAUAAUAUGAGAAGAAAAUAAAAUACAUUAUUUUGGCUACUCUUUCAUCCACUAAUGGUAACUGUCAUUUUCUUCUAACAAGAAGAAAAUAUUACUAGCUAUAUCCACAGCUCCCCAAACUAUGCAAUGCUUUAUUGAACUACUGCAUUAUCCAGCAUCUCUAUGUAUUCAACAAGUAAAGUUCAUGACUGUUUUCAGUGCCUAUGGAGGCAAGGAUUAACCCAUGCGACAUGCAGUUGAUCAAAGAACACUAAGCUAGUUUUAUUUAUCCAGAAGUCCUGACAGGUAUUUCCCUGAAUAGAAACGAGUUAAAUUAUUUUGUUAGAAGUACACUAGGACUUGGCUGCAAAAGAGUUGACAACAGAACUAUGCCAAAUUUACCAUUCCACAGCCACCUGUUCGCAACUUAAGACAGAUAUACAUGCAGAAACUGAAGAAUUCAAGCCACAUGGAAUGUAGAAAUGUGUGGAGACAAUAUAGAUUGAGACAUGUAAAAUGCAAUAUUAAAUUCGAUAUAACUGGGCAAUAAAAGACAAGAUAAUACUACCAACAAAAUUUCUUUGAUCACAAAUCAUGUACCUGAACAUCCUCAACAACUAUACGGUUGACACCAUGCUCCAUCGGACACAUAUCUCCUCUUAAGCAAAAACCACGCUCCUCAAAAUCUCUACAACGUGGCCGAGAUAUGCCCAAGUUCACCGUAGGGUUAAUUGAUGGUUUCAAUGCCCCUUGCAAACCGAUGGAAUGAAGAGUAUCAAGACCACCAUUAGGCAUAGCUGGAACCAACCCAAAUGCAUUCCAAGUUGCACUCUGCACAUUGGAAACAUUCGGUAACCCCCUACCUGCAAAUAGACUAGGAGGAAUGGAUCCCUGUUGAACAAGUUGAGAAGCAAUAUCUGCAGAACUAAACCUCGAAUCACGCUGCCCCCAAGCACCAGAUUCUCUACCUCUACCCCUAGUGGGCCCAGGAUCAGCUGACAGGGACUGGUUUAACCUAAUUCUUUGGCUUAACUCUGUUGGAGCUCUGGAAAAUGAUGCCAAAUUUGGACGUCUUUUCUCAAACCUACCAGAGGAAUCUCUCUCCUGAUUGCCGAAGUUGUAGGUCUUCCAGGUUUCACUAGACUGAGAACCACUUUCCCUACAAGGAUGCCCAUUUUCAAAUGGCUUCCUUUUUCUGUAGGGUCUUGUCAAAACUUGUUCAGAAGCAUCACCCUCCAAUGAUUGAGAACGUGCUUCUCGUCUACGAUGCUUAUGAUUACGAUCAUCAUCAUCGUCUUCACUAAUUUCUUUCUCCUCGGGAUCGCUAGCAGGAGAAAGGCCUAUUUUAGGAGAAGUGACUUUUAGCUCCAUUCAAAACCUCUUAUGAAGAAGAAGACCAAGACCAAAUAAUUUUAUAGCAUCAAAAAGUAUAAUGCACCAGGCAGCUGAAUAAUGAGAACCACUUUAUUUACAGAAUCAGCAAAGAGGGCUAGCGCCUGAAAUAAAGAGCAGCAUUGAUUAAGCAGAUAGGAAUGUCAAAAUGCAGAAAUACCAACAUUCAUAAGCUAAGUGAUAGAAUUAACAUGCAUAAUAUGUUGCUUUAGGCAUCUUAAAUGAAGAAACAAUUCCCUUUGCAUGAAAUCAAAGCACAGUAAUUACUUUUAAAUGUAAACCACAAUACUAAUACUAAAAUCGAUAUUCAAGGACAACAAAAGAGACUAGACUUGAUUUGUCAAAAAUCCAUGUUGCCUUUGAAUGGAGUAAACUAGAUUAUCCCUCAGCAUUUGACAUUUAUAUCAGAGUCCCUCAAUGUGGCCAAAGUGCCACUAACACCUGAGAAGCAACUUGUCCCUACUACUCCACCAACUACUACUAUUCAAAAGAAUACCUGUGUAACAACAAAGGUACUCAACAGUCUUAGUUCUAAAAAACAAUUACUUUCCAAGUGCAAAUUACUCAUAAGUCCAAAAACCAGAACCAGCACCAGCACCAGCAUUGCCGGGAUAGCCAACACUAAAAAUCCAAAAUAAAAAACUAAAAACAGAAAUAUUAAUAAAACAAAUCCGAUAUGAAAAAACCUGUCUACUUGUGUAUUGCUGUGUGCCACACUUCGUUUUUGUCAACCUUUUAGCCCAUUUGGUAUAACUCAUCUGGAAUGACAGUCCACCUCGUAAAUGAGCUUUGCAAAUGGACAUUAAUGAACUUCUAAGGUAAAGUCAUUUCAAGCAAGCAGCUACUCCAUGAAAAGCCUUGCUCUGUACAUUAGUGCUUAAGGAGCACUUUCUCCAAUUAUUAAAAAUCAAGGUGGCUUUCUGGUACCAUCCAUACCUAAAUGCACCAAUUAAUCAUCUAGACACGUUGCUCCAUUCCUUUGCCAUUUUGUGAAAUGAUUCAUAAUAGAUUGACCAACCACCUUUCCCUUAAUCUAUCCCCAACUCAUUACCACCAAUUCAAUCACCACAACAUAAUCUAAUGUCUACCCCAUCCAUAUUCUGUCCAACAGCCUUCAUGAUGUGGAGUCUUAUUUACAAAGGUAUCCAAUUUUUUGCAAUCUAUUCCAGCUCUCUCUCUCUCUCUUCUUUUAUUGUUUGAGUAAAAUAGCCUUAAAUAUGUCAUAAAACUACAAGCAGUUCAGAGGUCACUUUAGAAACAGAGAAUUCAUGUUCCCAAGAAGUUCCAUAGCUCCAAAAUAAAUGAAGAACUGUAAGCAACAACAUUAAUGUCAAAUUUGCAUUAGGUCAUGAAUUCUAGUUUUGGUGACAAGAAACACAUCACCUUAAUACAGAAGCAUAAUCAAUUAGAAUGGUGGUAAUAAAAAAAAAAACUUGUGUUCAUCGGGAACUACAAUUUUAGCAUUACCUUAGUCAAAAUUUUUGGCAAUUCUUAACCUCCCCAUAAAAUUUGGCAGGAAAAGCUCUCCUUUUUCAAUGUGUAAUUAAAUCUCAUCCAGUCCACCACCAUCGUCCAUAUAAAUUUAAAAGAUAACACUGAAAUAACACCAUUCAUACAAAAAGAAACAGUUCAAGUGAUGACCAUUAAUGAGCAUGAGAAAAAUUUAAAUGUGUGGGAGAACUGAAAUUGGUGUGCCUCUAUCUGGCGGGUAUGAGAGAGAAAGAGACAGAAGGUGCUUGCAAGUGUAUAAAGACUUGAUGGGCUUAUGCUUGAAGACCAUUACCUAAUCUUCGGUAAACAUCUCAAACGGGAGACAACGCACAGACGUGGCUGGAACUGAAAAUCUUGCAUUGAAAUUGAUCAAUUUGACUCCAAAAAAGACUAAUAACACGUGUUUUACUUAACUCGUCUCUCUUAUAAUCUUGUGAAAUGUCAAACCAAUGAGUCACACUUCAUCAAAAUCCUAUGUGGUCAAUUUCAAUAAAUGAGCGUCCAAGGAGUCAACAUUAGGCAACAAGAUUUAUCUACACAUAUGACGAGAUGCACAUUCAAUUACCAAAAAAAUCUUAAAUGCUAAAGAGUACACGAGAAUUGGCCAUUUAAAGACACUACAUAACUAUGCAAACAAACAUCCAGCUUUCCAUCAAACCAACCGAAAGUAAAUAUUUCCCAAAAUGCAGUAAAACCUCAGCAGCUCAUAAAAAGAGAAAGUAACAAAAAAUCAAUUAUCUAUAAAUUCCACAACUAACCAAAGGGCCAGCAUGUACACAUGUAGGAGCCAAGUGCACCAGUCAUGCAGUUCACCCAAGAUACUCAUACCUAAAGGCCAGACCCUAGUUCCACAGCCAGUAAAGUGUACAGAUGAUAUCGAACAGCAGUUACAGAACAAUAAUCUAAGAAGGGGCGCUCUUAUCCCAGGCAUACCCACUGUAGCUCAUCAGCCCAAAAGAAGGAAGAUAUGGAGCAAAAUUACUUUAAAAAAAAUAAAAGGAAUAAAAUAAGCAAUGCCAUGAACACUUAAAAAAGAGUUCGUUACUUAAGCCAGUCCAGAUAGUGUCGCAUACAAUGGGAACCAACAUAAAAGGGAAAGGAAAAAGAAAAAUAGUAGCACUAACAAUAAAAGCUAUUACAAAGCCCAAACCCUAAUUCAAUUAAGGCAAUUUGAUCACACAACUUAAAACAAAAUCCAAUAGCAAUAACGAAUUGAAAAAACGAAAAACUAGAAGGUAAACGAGCGAAACCUGUUGAAUUGUGAAUUAGGGUUUCGAACAUUUUUACUUUUUCUGUUCCCUUUUUCGGUGAAAUGAUAAAGAAAGCAGGCUGUAGCUUCUUCCUCCAAUAGUAAUCGGACCGUAAUUUUGCAGCUUACGCCAAGUCAGUAUUUUGUCUGUAUUUGCAAUCUCUAUAUUGUAUAAGCUCCCCUCCGUCCAAAUGUCGUUUUGUCUCUCUCUCUCUCUCUCUCUCUCUCUCUCUCUCUCUCUCUCUCUCUCCUCUCUCACGCACCCUGUGAAGAAGAAAAGAGGAGAAAAAAAAGGAGGGUUUUACAGAAGAAACACGGACGGAUUUGGGUAGCCAAUAAAAUAAUUUUAUCGUAAAUUGAAGAAAACAACCCUCAUGUGUUGCUAAAAUCCAGACAUAUUCAUCAUUCGGAAAUUUUGUCGCAGCCAACCAAAAGGGCUGAUUAAUGCCGGUGGCAGUCCCGCAAGCGUUUGAAUAGUUGCAGUAGUUUUAGUGUAAUUAUGGAUUGGCCCAAAAAGUAGUCUGGGAAGGCCAGCGGAACCCAAAAAGCAUGAUGGUGACCGUACUUGGAUUUAUAUAUUUAAAAAAAAAAAAAAAUACUCAACCAAGACCUCUAUUCUAGGCCUUACCUGCUUUAACUUGGGCUGGGAUUGGAGUUGCGGGGCCGCGGAGGUAGUCUAUAGCAAGCCCAUAUGUCUUUUUUUUAACAUAAGAACACUGAACACGCUCUCUGUUUUCGAGCCCACAAAGAAAGUUUUUGGGAAAUUUUGAAAAGGAAAAAGUAGGAAGGCUGAAAAUUUAUGAGCAGAGCAAGUAUUGGAAUAUUUGUAAAUGAGGUAUGGGCUGCUGUUCAUAACUUAAAAUGAAUAAUAAACUUACCAUUAAGAUUAAAUUACCUUCGUAAUUAUAUGCACUGCAUUGAAUACAAAUGUGCGCUUUUCUGUUUUUUUUUUUUUUUAAAAAAAAUUCACUUUUAGGGUUAGAAAUGUGCAUGUUGGCAAUUGUAAGUGCACAUCCAAAAUCUCCACGUUUAAAAUCCAUACAUGUGUACAUAUAUACGUUCAAAUGUGCAUAUAUGAUGCAUGUGCAUGUACAAGUACUAAUAUGUGCGCAAAAGAAUAAAAUCGUAAUUUUAUCAAGAACAAAAAAUGUUUUUUAUAAUUUACAAACAAUAACCCUAAAAUUUUAUUAUAUAGCAGGAGUCUAUUUCUAUUUUGCGCUGGGGAUAAAAACAACGUAAAAUUUUCAUUUUUAAGUUUUCGAUCUCUUUUUAACAUCCCAGGAAUACAAAGAAAACCGACAAAAGGGUCAUACUUAAGCAAAUUUAAGACAAGGCCCUUACAAUUACAGCAGACAACAAUAGUAGCAUAUUUGUUAUUGAUAACAUAAUCAAGAUAUUUUUUGACAAUGUUUUUAUCAGUCACCUUUUUUUUUUUUUUUUAAAUAAUAUGGUCAGUCCUUGCGCGCAAAGCAAAACGUUCAUAAAAGUGCAGCAUUAUUCAAACAAUUAAAACUGCAAACAUGUGGUUAAUUUCUUUCACCUGUAUUUCAUGAUAUAAUCUUUAUAGACAUUAUGGAAAUCUUCUUCGAAGUUAUUUCUGAAAACAACAUCAUAAAUGUAAACCAAAAAAAAAAAAAAAAAAACGAAAAGGUGAGAAAGUUCUUUUUGCUGCCUAAACGCCUUGACAAAUCAUAUUGACUUGAUAAUCACCAACGCCAAUAACGCCACGGGGCAAAGAAAGGACAGGACAUGACGCCGCCGAUUCAUGCGCCACAAGCAAAGAGGCAAGAAUAACAGUCAAGAGAUGCACAGCCAUCAUUAGUACCCAAAAAUUAUGAAACAGUAACCAAAAGUGCCCCCCGAGAUCCAAACAGAUAUUUCUUUCAGCAAAUGGCUGCCCCAACAACCUUCUGUACAUGAACACACAUCAGAAAAAGACGAGUUACCGACCAAACCAGCCUCGUGGAGGCUGGACUUCCCCAUCAUUCAUUAAUUUAUCUAAAACCACAUUAAGAUCAACGGAUUGCCCAUUCUCUGUCAAUUUCCGGACUGUUGCUCGCACCUGAUCUCUCGGAAAUCCCAUAUUUGUCACCUUGUCAACCACAUCAUCAACGGGAACCCUGUUUCCAGAACCUGAAGAACCAGAGCCACCACUGACCCCAGAGGCAGUAGGUAUUGCUUGAGGUAAAAUCCGUGCGGUAGGAAGCUGUGGAUAACCACUUCCACCACCAUGGCCAAUGACAGGAGAGGAAAGCUGCUGAGAUUUCGCAGGUGAGCCACUGCCAUACUGGGAUGACGAACCGCCAUACAAAUAUUGUUCCCCAGAACCAGAGGCUGGGCCGUAUGUCCCAGAAAAUCCUGGACCAGGCCGGCUAGAUGGCGGCUCAUACAUGUGCGGGGGAGCUCCAUAGAACUGCUGGUGGGGAGGAGCUGCGCUAGCUGGAAGGGAAGGAGUUUGGCGGUUAGCUGGAGAAUAACUUUGAGAUGGUACAUAAGGUGGUUCUUCAGGAUGAUGGGCUAAUGCAGGUUGGUGUUGGGGGGGAUUAGCAGCUUGGAGAGAGUUGUGUGGUUGAGGAGGUGCAGGAGGCUGAGAAUACUGAAGUUGAGGGAGGGCUUGGUACUGUUGCUGCAGCUGAGGUGGCGAAGAAGCCUGCAGCUGCUGUGGUGGAGGCAAUUGAUAUUGCUGGCCCAAGUUCUCUGAUGUUUGACCAGCUGGUGGUGGUGGCGGUGGUGGUGGAAAAUAAGGCUCCUGCUGAGGAACAGAAGGAAGUUGAUUAUGAGAGAACUGGCUUGGCAGCUGGACUUGAGGUGGUAGAUUUUGUUGCAAGGCCGGUGGAGGAGCAUUAGGAGGGACAACUGAUGGUGUUUGAGCAACAGGAGGAAGGUGCUGGUGAGAUUGUUGACUAACAGAUAAUGCAGGUUGUGAAGAAUCCAAAUGACUGGUGCCCUGUGUAUCCACAUGCUGCUCAGCCUUUGAAACUUCCAGCUUUGCAAGAUGCAGCUGAGCAUCCAAAAUUUCUUGCUUAUCCCUUAUAAACUGUAUACCAUUUUGCACCUGUACCCAUUUUUUGAUGCAGUCAACACAAACAACAAAAAACAGAGAGAGAGAGAGAUAAAAGGAGGAGGAGGAGAAGCAUAAACAUUACGCAUGACAACUUAAAUCUGACAAAAUUAGGUAUUCAUUUCAAGUCAAGAAACAACCUAGGAGCCUGAUUGCAAGAUGAGAAAAACAAUAAGACGUACCAAUCCAGACAAGCUUUGUUCAUUUUCCAAGCCAUUAUGGGAAGACAAAAGGAAAACUCAGGAACAAUCUCAUGAAGGGAAAAAACAGUGCAGGUACUGCAUCUACAAGCAUAAUUGUGAAGUGUCUGUGCUAAAGAGACCUUAAAUGGCAUAGAUGAAAUCAGUCUCUAGUGCAGAGAUGCUGAUUAUUUGGACCAAUAUAUUUGUCUAGCUCAACACUUAAGAUUGAGCUUAAAAAGCAACUAUCUCGCUCUAACUGUUUACCACUAACGCUCUGUUGCACUUUUGCAAGGGAAUAAAAAUUUUCAAUAAUACAGCUGUGGGUUAACUCAGACAAUCUGUACAAGUUUGGAUUUUUAAAAAAAAAAGGCUCUAGGCUUAAGUAGCCAAUAGCAGUAGAUCUCAAAUAAUUAUUUUAGCCAACCUUUUGACCUUAAUAACUUGCAAUGGCUGGAGAAGGUAAGGAGAUAAGAUCAACGUGGCCAUGCACCAGAAAAUAAUGCACAAUAUAAACAUUACAACCCUGGAAAGGUGCAUUUCUAUUAAAAACAAAACCCUCGCAUGCAUAAACUUCUCAAAAAUGAGUGGCAAGUAAAAUAUUACCAUCCCAUCAACAACCUCCUAAAAUCUAUGCAGUAAAUCUGGAACAGUUUAAUUAAUCAAACGGAAAAACAAAUUGUCAGUGAACUGAAAAUGCUCUGAAACAGACGGGUAAAGAGAGAAAUGGAGAUACCUCUCUAAGAAUAUUUUCCAACUGUCUCAUUCUCCCAUCAGAGCUCCCAUGAUUAGUUCCGACAGAGACCUUCAAUUCAUCCAAAGAAUUUUCAAGGUGACGGGUCCUGGACUCCAACUGUGUUAAUCGUGCACUAACACUGUCCAAUCCAUGCAUCAGAUUAUCGGCAUACUUCUUCAUGGUACGAUCAAUCUCAGACACCAACUUGGGGUCAACAACAUUUUGAUCCUUCUCCAAAAUGACUCUUCCAGGUUCGAAGGAGUCAAAAGAACUGUAAGUCUGUAAAGAAAAUCAAGUUCCAUCAAAAACAAAAUUAAAAAAAAAUGUAGAGGAACCUAUCCACUAGCUAAUAUCAAGUCCCUCUCCAAUCAACACAAAACCUUUCUGUUUUUGGAGGUAAAAAGAUACUUCCUUUCUUCUUCCUCCUAACUUGUCCUCUAGGCGUUCUUAUACCACAGGUAUACUUCAUGCACAAAUAAGUUAGUCUUAUAUAAUUUGGAUUUAAAAUGUCCUUUCAGUGAUAUAUUAAUAUCAAAAAACCAACCCCGUUAUCAAUCAAUGUCCACUCUCUCUCCCUCAGGCCUGAUUCUGAUCUAAUCUUCGAUGUUUCUCGGAACUAUUAUUAAAUCUUAAUGGUAUAUACUUUGUACAAUUUCAUACCCACUGAGGGCCUUUCCAGUUGCAACCUUUUGAUAACCAUACACCGCACAGCAUCACCAUAUAUGUUAAUUGUAGACAUUAAACAAACAAUAACAAUUUGAUCGCCGCCAAAAACAUUUGAUUUUUUGCUUCCUAAAUCAAGAUUGAGGAAUAAGCUUUUCACAUUAAACUUCAAGCGAAGCCGUAAACCCAUCAACAUUUGUAUUGCUUAAUCAGUAGUACUACUUCAGUUCUGCCAAGAGUACGCCUUUUAAGUACUAAAACAGCCCAAAAAAGGGAGAACGUGGAUAGGCCAAAAACAUAACCAACAUCGACCAACCUUAAAUUACCCAAAAUAUAUAAAGUCCAAAAUUGGUUUAGUCUUCCUAAACAUAAAAUACAAAGAUAAAGUAUAGACUGGGAAAUAAAACCAAAAAAAAAAAAAAGACGUUACCCUGAUUCCACCCGUAUGAGUCUUGUUGUCGGCUGAAUUCCAAGCCCUAGGCGGCGCAUCAAGAUUGCCGGAAUCGAUUUCGGUCCCGAUGGGGCGAAGCGGCUGGAAAUCAUAGCUGGGAAGGAUCUCCUCUUUCUUGUCGGAAUUCCCGAUGCGGUGAUCCUCGCGAGGGUUAAUCAGAUCGAUGAAGUCAUUAUGAGAAUUGAGGCUCUGCGAAUUGGAUAGAUCCAUGAUCUGUUUGUCCAUAAACUGGGAUGUAUUCAUCGAGUAUUCACUCAAUCGUAGUUGACACUUAAAUAUAUAUUAUUCUCGUAACACCAAUAAUAUAAUAGAUUAUAUGCAGUACUUCUUAAAUUAUUAGCAUAAAUAUAGAUAUAUUUGUAGAGAGAGAGAGAGAGUGGAAUGGAAAAAAAACGGUGGGAAAUUCUGGGAUGGUUCUGGGUUAUUCUUGCCUCUGGGAUUUGGCGUGAAGGGUUUUUGAUAAUUUGACGAUGUGAAAUUAUGAGGCGUCCUUCGUGGGAAUUUUAUUUUUAUUCUUUUCCUUUUCCUUCGUGGGAAAUUUAUCUAAACAAGACCCGUACUUCCCGUCGCCGCUGCACCUUGGAAUGGCCAAAAAACGAUGUCGUUUUUCGGAGCUUAAGUUGACAAUUUACUUGGAUUAAUUUCGUUUUGGCCCUCCCCGGGUUAUUUAUGCGAUUAUUGAUAUUUAGUUUCAAACUUUAAAAUAAUAUACCAUAAAUGUUUUUACCGUGCAAAAAAAAUGAAAUUUAUAAUUUAAUAAUUAAAAAAAAAAACCCAGAUGAGGCUAUGAUGUCUUCUUCCUUAAUUAAACUUUUUUGAAAAAUUUUUGGAAGACCCUUGAUUAGUAGUAGAUGUCUUGGAGUUGAUGGGUCCCACUUGCACACAACUCUUGCAUCAAAAACACUCUUUCUGUUGAAAUAAAGCCCCUAAGGGAAGGCACAUUGCACAUCAGCUACUGCGAUGCAGCUUAUUAGUUAGAGAAAAUGACAUGUUUCAUCUUUCACAAUUCGUAAAAAUAUUCUUUUAGUCUCUCAUAUUUGAAAUGAAACAAAUUAGUCUUUCACAUUUAAAAAUCCAAACUUUUACAUUUUAGAAAUAAACUCUCAGUUGUGAAUCAAACUAUCUAACAAUCCGGUUACAAAUUCUGAGGAUAGAAUUGAUAGAUCACUUGCAAAAGCAUAUUUCCAACAAAUAAAUUAAAAUAAUUAAAAAAUCUUAAUUAAAACCCAUUUACUUCUUCAAAAGCAAUCUUAAGUCGCUUGUCUACAAGCAAAUGGGUUUUACUUAAUAUUUUUUAAUUGUUUUAAUUUAUUUGUUGGAAAUAUAUUUUUACGAGUGAUCUACCAAUUUUACCCCCAAAUUUUGUAACCAGAUUGUUAGAUGAUUUGAUUCACAACUGAGAGUUUAUUUCUAGGAUGUAAAAGUUUGGGUUUUUAAAUAUGGAUGACCAAUUUCCUUCGUUUUAAAUGUGAGAGACGAAAAGAAUAUUUUUACGAAAUGUGAGGGAUGAAACAUGUCAUUUUUCCUAUUAGUUAAGGUACUGCAGAAGAAACUAUUAUGUCUGGAGUGACUGUAGAGAGAUGAUUGCAUGAGAUUGGCAAGUAUGUUCAUCUUACUAUGCAAGGGAAGGUAAUUUGGCAGUAGAUAAUUUAGCAAUUAUGGAGCAUUGUUUGCUCUAUUAAACAAUAAUUCUAAUGUCUCCUCCAAGCAAAUUUUUUGCAAGAUUUCAUGGAAAUAACAACCCAUAUAUUAUUAGAUCUCUCUAAAAGUGGCCAUGUAAAAAAAAUGCUAAUGUUCCGGUCAAUUGCUACCGAAAUUUUUGUUUUCUGAAGAUAAAACGUGCCUUAUCCUCAAAUAUAAGAAUAACGACCUCUGGAUAAAAUGCAUCUCUAGACUUAUAAUGAGCCAAUAAGGACUGAACUACCAUCAGACUAGACGGGUGCACUACUUACCCGUAUAAAUUUGAAAAAAUCAUAUAUUACUGCAAUAUGAUAGGAGGUAUAAUUUAAUCUCUUGAUCUCUCACCCACCAAGAUUUGUCGUUGAUAGUGGCCACGGCCAAAAUAACCGGUGGUUCUUUACACUCAGAGUUGCCAGGCUUAGGAUUUGAUUCCUUGGCGGUGGAAAAAAUCCCAAAGAGUCACUAACUGACCACUCGAUCCGACUCCAAUAGUUAUUGCUGGAGAAUUGACUAGCUUUAAUAGGAAAAUAGAUGCAAUUUCUAUAAUCAACAUCGCCUCUUGUUUGCCUCCAUAAUUCUGAGAUGAUUAGGAGAAUGACUGGCCCAAAACGGAGAGCAACUUUCCAUGGAUACGAACAUUAUGAAUUGAUGAGUGAUGACCCUAUUCCGACCGCAAAAUGCUUGUUUUCAAAUUGGGCAAUUAGCUGCACAAGUUGGAUAAAGCUCGUACUUUCCCUGGGAAACUUUCCCGUGGCCCAUUGGCCUCUUAAGCAUCCAGCGGUCAUCAGUUCUUUAACUUUUCCCAGUGCGGGGCAGAUCCCGUCCAAUACAGAGAAAACGAUACAGCUCAAAUCAAACCAACAAUGGUAUGGCGAUGCUCAGGCGGAAGCGUGAAAUCUAUUAAUUUUGGUUUUGCAUCAGAACAUGCCAACAAACUACCUCUCAUUAGUUAUUGGGCCCAGUUAAACACCGCCUAACAAAAUAUUUAAAAGAAAGUUUAGUGUGCUGAAUAUGCACAGAAGUGAGCGAGACAGACAGAGAGUAUUGGUAAUGCACUUGAUAGCACUUGAUAGCACUUUGUUCCGUCUCAGUUUACAUUUUUGUGUGCAAGAGUUGGAUACAAUUUUGGACUCAGGAUCCAAACCCAAUAAUAGUUAUCAGAACUGGUACUGAAUUACAGAAAGCCCAGAAGAAUUAGGCCAUGGGACUUGAACUAUGAUCAUGUGCCCUUCAUAUUCAAAUGCCACCUCAUUCCCAUUGACACGGCAAACGGUGGGCUUCUGGGACGAGAAGACCCUCAUUUCUCCGGUUCCCUUUACUCCGAUUUGUACGGCGUCGGCAUCAUCAUUGAACACCAUUGUCUGAAUGGCACCACCAGAGUUGAGCAUGUUCACCAGACCAAUCGGAGCAAACCGGACACCUUUGCCGCUAAAGACCUUGACGGGAGAGACAGUUACGAGGUCAAAAUGAAAUGGCUCCAGCGAUAUUUCGAAGUCGUCGGAUGGCUUCGAGAGCAGCAGCCUCUUCUCCCGGAAAGAGUACAGGGCAAACACUUGAACUCCAUCAACUGAGAUUGGCGAAGUCCCCUGCUUCCACUCCACAUCUUUGGGACUGAAAGUGGAAGUCACGGAAUGAGAAUACUGAGAGGCACAUUUAUUGCGUCUCGCUUCUCUGCACCAUCCUCCACCUUGGCAGUUAAAUGCCCCCACAACUCCGGUAUACUGAUGCAAGAAGACACACAAGUAUUUGACGAGGUUAAUAUCCAGUUGUGUCACGAGCUAGGAGAUGAUUGAGAAAUCAAGGGAGAGUAAAUUAACCGCUCACCUUGUUGAGGUUCCAUAUCUUAAGCAUGGUUUUUCCAUUGUGAAGAGGGUCUUCAAAGAGGCAAUCACGGGUAGGAAGCGCAUAGUACUGGCAACGCAGAAUUGUACCGUCAGGCAAGACGAGGCUCUUGAGGAGCUCGAAGUUGUGCUUCCCUACAGAGUCACUCACGUAGAUCGGUCCACCGGAGAUGGCUCGAGAGGCAGCGUGAAAUUCAGCACAGGGAUGAGUCGACUGGAACAUGUCCCAGUCAGGGUGAAUGAAAUUGCCCAUCCACAAGCUAUUGUAAGCGCAGUGAACCAUGUGACACCCCUGUAACCAGAAUGUGCCGUUGGGAUCACCGGAAGGAUCGGUACACCAAAAGUCAUCUCCUGUUGUUAUCACGUAACGUGUUAAAAGCCCAUACAAGUCGAAUCCAAUCACUCUGUAUUAUUGAGUAGGUGGCUCAAGGAAGCAGGCAGUUUAUACACGCACACGCGUAUGUUUUAGAUUAGAACUGGCUCGAAUGGAUUAGCUUUUAAUUAGUACCUUAAUCUUUAAUUAAUUUUCAUAAUCAAUGAAAACAUUUGACUCCCUAGAAGGCUUACGUCAGUAACAGAUAAGAGCCAGUCCCACACGGUUUUGCCAUAAAGUCGCAAAAUCAGCUGCUAUGUGAGUAAAAAGUAAAUAAAUGAAAACGGAGAGAGUAACGUACCGACGCGGCCAAGGGAGAUGGCCUGAGUUCCGAGGAACAUGAAGUCGUUGCAGUGCUCCAUGCUGGCAAUCACGCCAUUCCCUUUCAAGUGAUUUCUGACGGAAGACGUAAGGGCUUUGAAGUAGGCUUUUGCGAGCUCCACUCUGCCCCCAUAAUCCUCGCAAACCAUUUCCAGCAGCUGCCCCCCAUAAUUAAACAACAACCAUUUCAGUGUUACACGAAACAUGCAAGUGGACGAACGUGAACAAUUGAAGGUAAUAUAUAUAUAUAUAACAUAUAAUUUGACUGGACUUUGAACGCCUAUAAAUAAUUAAGAGAUACAGAAAGGCAUUAACGUGCCGACAAAGCAAACAUAGCAGUAGCAAAUCCAAAAAAAAAAAAGAAGAAGAAGAAGAAGGGAUUUUUGAUUUGUCCUAAUCUGAAUCUACUCGAGAAGAAGAAGUAAACGCUAGUAAAGACACGUGGCGGUCGUAGGUUUGGAAGUUACUCGGAAAACUUACAUGAAUCACGUCCACCUUGACUCCAUCAAUUCCAAUGGACUCCAGGUGAGAGUGAAGGCCUUCGUACAAUUGGUCAGCAAGCUCCGGCGGUACCAACCCAACUCCAUUGUUCACGAUCUUAUCCACCGCGAGAUCUUCCAUGGUCUUCUGCAGUCCGGGGGACAAUUUCGGUGCAAUCACUCUUGAUUCGGGCAGCUCCGGGAUGUCGGGUCUAAGCCCGCCCCAGUAUCCACAAAGCGCAUGCCACACGUAAACAUAGUCCACACUUUUGAAGUUGUCCUUGAGGUCCCGAAUGAAAGCACCCAUGCCUUUAUUUGGGCCGGCGCCGGAUCCCGACUUGCCGGGGCUCUCGUAGUCCCUGAAUUUGUAGUUCUCUUGGAACUUGAUGAGCCUGCAAGGCAUUUGUUCACCGGCGGAUGUUCUGUUCAUUCCUUCUGUGGUGAUUGGAUCGUCGUCGUGGGAGAUGGACUGCCAACCAUCGUCGAUCAGCACCAGCCCAGGCGGGCACCCUCCUUCCGCGAGGUCCUUCACACCUUCCCACACGCCUUGCGGCUGCACCGUGAGGUAGAAGGCAUCCCAAGUGCACCACCCGAACUUAUCCACAAUGCCCGGUGGAGUCUUUUCCUCCAAGAGCUUGAAGGUCCCCAGGUGGAACCUGACCACCUUCAUAGCCUCUUUGACCAGCGUGAAUGGAUCGUCUCCCACGUGCAUGUAAAGCACGCUCCGGAACAACGAGCCGUUGACUUUUGUCGACCCGCUUUCGACGCAGAGAUCUAUGUAGUCAUCUUCGCCGGGCUGAAGAGAAGCCCUGAAAGGGCCUUCGAUGAGCGGAAGGAGUAAGACGUAGGGGCGACCGGAGUCGGACUUAUCGAGAAUGACUAUUUGAGUUUCGUUUUCGAGGUCUGCACCUUGGGUUCCAAUCCAGUGGGUGGUCCACCAGACCUUGAACCUGAAAAUGCUCAUGAACCUGAUGUCUUUGAGCUUCCCAACCGGCACCACGUGACGGCUCUUUGCCUCCAGGCUGUCGAAACCUACGAAGCAGCCGGAAGAUGUUGUGACCGGCUUGUCACCGGUGGUGUAUGGGGAGGGUGUGGCAACGAUAUUGGCCGGAACUUCGGAUAAAAUGACAUGGUUAUUCACCAAGAAUUUUGAUUCGUCUAGACUGAUUAAUGACAGGUUGCAGCCAUCCACCAGGACGGAAAUGUUUGAGCCACCUUUGCCGAGACUGGGAGCCAUUAAUUGAUCAAUAAACUUGACAAGCAAGCAAGGAAAUACUACAACCUAAGAAAUUAUUGGGAGCAGAAAGCUCUUCAAAGAAAGAACGGAAAGCAGGGAUGAGAUUGGGUAGUUGAACCGUCCGAGAGUUAUAUAGAGAUGUCAAGUGAUGUCAGUAGCUCUUUAGAAAUGGAAUGAAGGAUCUUUACUCGAAUAUUUUUGUGUGGUAUACCUUGAACUAAAGCUUGCUCUUUUUUCUAUCGUUGAGAUGCUGUAAGAUUAGUGUAAGUUGCUUUAUCCAGUUCUGGCUGGCUAUGGCAAAUUUAUAGGCCGCGAUAGUGGUAAAAUUUAAAAGAGUUGAAGGGUCAUAACUAAGAGUGGGAAACUUCAAACGAAGAAGAUGAGGUGGUCGGUUUGGUUUCAACUUCGAAGAUUUGAUUUUAGGGGGGGCAAGGGUACUGUAGGAAAGCGCAUUAAUUAUAAUUAUCCUAGUGUCCUUUUCGUCGUCGAGAACAUUUCUUUUUCCCAAAUCCCACGGAGCCGUUAAUCCCCAGUUAUUAGUUACAGGUAACGUUCAGAGUAGAUGACAAGUGGUAAGUAGACCAAUUAAGCACAUGACAACUCUUUGGGUGGCAGAUGACAAAUUCAACCUCCAUCUUCACAAUUUUGGUAGUGCAAUUACCGUAAAAGAUUUUGAUGAUUGAGUUUUAAGGUUUUCUCUGAUUGCAGAUGAUUACGGGUAAUAUUUUUUUUUCUGAGGGAAUUACUAGUCAGAUAAAGUAGCAGAACAACAUCAGAACUCAAGGAUUAAAAAAAAAAAAAUGUAUGCAUAGUCCGACUACGAGAUAGGGGUGUGCGCGGAUUGGAUACUUAUCCCAUUCAUCGUUUGGUUGACCUGAUCCACACUUUGAAGGUCAGCUAUUUUCUAUUCUUACUUGUCCCAUAUAUUUAACAAGUACUCGAUUAUAGGGUACUCGCUGAGAUAAGAUCGAGUCAACGGAUUCCCGCUCUCCUCCACUUAGCAUUUAAUUUUUUUAUUUUAUACUAAUUUAAUUUUGUAUUUUACACAUUCAUCUAAGAUUUAUUAAAGAUUUUUUCUCAAAAAAACCUCCCACCAAAAAAAAAGCAUGAGAAGAGAAUACAAGAAAAGGAAUUAAAAGAAUUCAAAAUUUAAAAAAAUUGAAAUAAGUUGCACAUUUUUUUAAAUAUAUGUUCCUCAUUAAUUAAACUCUUUUGUAUGAAAUAUAAGAUUAUGACCUCUAUAAAUAAAUAUUGUAAAUAAACUAUAGUCUCUAAUAUUUGUAAUGCAAUUUGUUCAAUGAAAUUAUUUAUUUAGUUCUAAAAAUAUUAUUUUAUAAUAUGUGUAUAAAAAUAAAAAUAAAUUAAAAAAACAUAUAUAUAUAUAUAUAUAUGUGUGUGUGUGUGUGUGUGUGUGUGGGACGUGUCAGGUACCAACGGAUUUUUAAUUAUAUGACCCUAACUCACCUUGCAUUUUAGCAGAUACCCAACCUUCUUUUAACCCAAUCAAAUAAUACAUAUUGAGUAUCCUAAUUUUCGACUCAGAUCGAAUCGAAUAUGUCGAGUUUUUAGGUUAGCGGAUAAUUUUGCCCACCCCUGGUGCAAGAAGUCACGACCAAAACGAAGUAACAUGUAGAAGCGGCAAAGUAUUAGUACAAACCAGCAUAUACAUAUAACUGUGCCGUUAAAUGGAUUUGGAUGACUCCAACGAAUUUAAUGGCUUUAAAUGGAUAAACAUCUAAACUCUCAAAUUAUGUCGGUGGAUUUAGAUAGAUUAUUGCAUCAUCCAUGUGUGUCCACUUAACAGAAAAAGAGGUGCAAAUGAGGCGUGAAAAAAAAAAAACUUUAAAUUGUCAAGCAUCAUUAGAAAAUAGAUAAAACUUGACCAAGACAAAUAAAAUAUUAUAGGACGAAAGGGAGUGUCAAUAUGCAUACGGAAUUAGAUAUCAUUGGGUCUUUGAUUUCUCCACUAGUAAAUGAUAGUAUAGCUUAACUUUAGAAUCUGAUUUUUCUGGAAAUCAGCUGUAUGAUCUUAUCAUCAAACUUUUGUACUUAAAUGCGCAUCCUCUACCUUAAUGUUAACCUUUAUACCAUCUAAAAACAACACGAAAAAGGGAAAAAUAUCCGGGGGGAAAAAAGAAAGGUUUGAUCACUCAUUAAAUCAAUUGAUACACCGAUUUUUGUCCCUCAUUCGUGUCUUGGUUAUGGAUGACGGGAAUCCCUCACUGACAUGAACAACAUGAGUUUUUGCAAUCGACCUUUCAAGUCAAACCAUAUAAUCUUUGGAGAUCAUCUUUACAUUCUUUUAAAUUUUCUUAAAAUUCGAACAUAUAUAUGUAUGUAUGUAUACAUAAAAAUAUAUAUAUAUUGUUCGUAUUAAUAUCUCGACAUGCGAAUUUGUUUAAUUAUACAAAGAAGAAAAAAGUCAACAGGAAUAUUACGGGAUGGAGGAAGUAUUAUUGAUAAAGUGAAAGGGAAUCAGUGGAGCGAAGAAUCAAGAAGCUCAAAGUUUGAGAAUAUUCUCUCUUUAUAUGUUUGAUGAGAACAUUCUCCCUCUCUAUAUAUCUUCAAGCAAUGCAAUGACGGAGCAAGGGGGCUAGGCCCCAUAUGAAUUAGCCACCUUUAAAUUAAUUUUUUUUAAAAAAAUUUAUUUAUUUUUUUCAUAUUUUUAUAAUUGAAGUUAAUGUUUGAUAUUUUUAGAUGUUAUAUAUUUAAAUAGAUGAAAUUUAUUUUAAACAUAACAUAUUAAGACAAUUUUAUUAGAAAAAAUUUUGAUCUCUUUUAGAAAAAAAAAAAUCCUGGCUCCGUCACUAUUAUCUAGGGCUUCUAUGAGAAAAUCUGCUUUCCUGAUACCAAAACGGUUACUUUAAAUAAAGCUAUUUAUACUUGCAUCCAUUAUUUUAUCAUGUGAGAAUCUAAUCAAUCAAGAGGGGCUAAGGCUUGUCUUUUUGCAUCAAAUGCUACAAACGUUUCGAAAAGCAUAUAUUCUGUUCCGCCGCAUAUUCAAACUCCACUAUUUAUUUAUUUAUUUCCACGGCUCAAAGACAAAGGAAUCAGAAAAACAUAAAAAAAAAGAAGAAGAUGCAAAAAGAAAUAAAGAAACUGAAGCUAUGGCUGUAAAUUAAUCGAAUCUAGCUAACUUUUAUACCGUCAAACGAAUGUGAACUUUUGGACUCGAGUUCAAAUCCUAUACAAGUUUAAAAUUUAAGAUUGAAUUCAAUCCAAUCUAAUAGUAUUCGACAGGUUCGAGUAGGGGUGUGAAUCGAAAUCGAAAUCGAUAAUUCAGAAUUUUGAAAUCGGAAUUUUUCGAAAUUUUGGUAUCAGAAUUUUCGACUGAUUUCGAUUUCGAAUUCAUCAAUUCCGAUUUCGAAUUCAUUCCGUAUUCAAUUCGAAAUUCGGUAAAUUCCGAUUUCACCGAAUUCAUGAAUAUAAAAAUUAUUAUUAUUAUUAUAUAAAUAUUAUAUUACAUAUAUAAAAAAUAUUAUAUAUAUGCAUGAAAACGAAAUUGAAAUCAAAAUAGGAAUUCCGAUAUCACCGAAUUCAUGAAUAUAAAAAUUAUUAUUAUAAUAUAAAUGUUAUAUUAUAUUAUAUAUAUAUGAAAAACAUAUUUGAAAUUGAAAUAGGAAUUCCGAAUUUUGAUUUCGAAUUGUGAGUUCAAAAUCGAAAUUUUCGAUUUGAAAAAUCUCGUUACUGAAUUUGACCAAUUCGAAAUCGAAAUUUCAAUUUUCAUUCCGAAUUAUCGAAUUCGAAUUUCUGAAUUCAAUUUGAAUUCGGUUGAUAAAUCGGAAUUUUCGAUUUGCACACCCGUAGGUUCGAGUUCGAUUCAAAAGAUCAAAAUUCUAUUUGAAUUUUUAAUUUAUAAUAUCAUUUUACCACUAUUUAUGUAUAAAAUCUAUAUAACACAAUACUAAUAUGUGAUUUCAUGUAAAAUGCUAAUAUAAAAAAUUCUUCGAACAUUAUUGAGUCUUAACAAAUCAAGUAUCUACAUAUUCCAAUUGAAUAUGAUAAUUUAAUCAAAUAUUAAUUUUUGAUCAAAUUUAAACUCAACCUCAUCGAAAUUCAAAAUCAAUUCGUUUAUAAUCGUAACCCAAACAAAUUCGAUCUUUCGAGUUCACGAUAAUCGCUCAUGAGGACAAAUGUAGAAAAGAAAACCUUGACACUAGAAAUAGGAAUUCAUGCUCUUCCAAGGCAAUCGAGUUGGUCUCACUAAGGGUUAGUACACCCGAGAUCCCGUGCUUGAGCCUUGUCAUAAAAAUGGGGAAUAACCCAACAACUCGAAUAAGGGUUGGGACUUGAAGUGGGGCCAGAUGCUUUUGUUUGUAAAAAAAAAGAAAAAGAAAUAGGAAUUCAUUAUUUCUGUCUUACUAUUUUGAUUGUAAUUUGAUGCAUUAUUCAAGGGAAAACAGUACAAAAGAGAGUUGUAUAGUGCUGGAGAAAUAUGAAACGAAGCAGGGUAAAGAAGAAAAAAAGGGUCAAUUAGAAAGCAGGUAAAACAUUUCAAAUUAUUUUUUUAACACAUAUAUUAGAUUGCUGCAGUAUAUAUAUAUAUAUAUAUAUAUAUAUAUAUUUCAAAAACUCUAAAAGAUACUAAUUCAAAUGGACUCUUUAAUUCUCCUUGAUUAAGCAUGAGAUGGGACCCACCAAAAGACUAAUAAGAUCUCUAGGAUUUGGACAUCUGGCAUCAUUGCAGAGAAAGGGCAAAGAAGCGCACCAGCACCAAUUGAGCGCAAGGAUUGGAAGAUUAAUGACGUUACGUUUUCGCAUGUAACGAAAAACCCAAAAAAAACAAAGGUUAAUGUACUGUGAAAAGCGUAAGAAAGAAAAAUUUUAAAGAACAAAAGUUGAGGGCUGGGUUGGGAAUAACAAAAGGAUCUUAAAAGAAAGGUAAAAAGGAAAAAGGUCAUGGGGUCGGUUGAAUACCCUUACCAAAAGCGUGUGGGCCAUUUCAAGUUACGAAUAGCCCUAAAAUUAAAUAAACUGGGUGUAUGUGUGUAGUAUGGGCCAUUUUGAGAAUUUUAUUUUGGCCACCGCCUUGCGGUAUCCGUGCUUCCAAUGGGAAAACGUGGGGCGGUGGCCAUGGAGCGUUUGCCACGUGUAGGUGGCCCUGCCGCACCGACCCCUUGGCUCUGGAAACUGGGAGCAUUCAGUGGCCACCUGGAAUUCUGCGAGGACAAGUAAUCAAUAGCAGGAAGGAAAUCCGGUCUGGGUGAGGAAUGAGCGUCCAUAUGACUCUCUCUCUCUCUCUCUCUCUCUAACCAAAAGUCCGUCCAAAACGUUGACGAUGAAUGUUAAGAAUCCAACUGCUCAUAACUGCCGAGGAAACUGUGACCGUUAGCUACAGGUACAAAACUACCACCUGGUCGUCGUUCCUUUCUUACUCACACACGUACCAAUGAGCAGCUCACACUUUAUCGCUUUUUUUUUGGAUUGGGAGUCAAAUCAAAAUUAGAAACCGCAGUGACUGGGAUGAGUGAAUAGGGGGCAUAAGGUACGCGUGUAGUGAUUGUUGGUGAUGUGAUUAGGAUAAAAUUAGAUCGCUUUUUCGUCGGUGUCUUCCUGACCGCAAUCCGCGUAAUUUGGACGAAUUACGCUGGGAAGUGGGGGGUCCAAAUUACGCUGGGAAGUGGGGGGAGUUAAAUUAAACAGACUUUGACCUUUUUCUGGCAGUUAAAACCUGCUGUCUUGGGGUUGUGGGAACGGCGCGGAUCUAGAAACGGUGGAUUGAAUCUCUGCAUUGACGGGGGCGAAUCCUGCGGUGGUUUAAAUUAAUGACGUUUGCCACUGGUCUGCCUCUCGUCUUAUCUCCACUUUUACGUGUUUCUAUCUCUAAUCGUUGGAUGAGGAUUGAAGAAUUCUGGCCAAUCCCACUCCACUCGCCUCCCUCAACCUGCGUUAAAAUGAUAACCGAUCCUCAACGGUCGUGAAUUUUGUCGGUGUCCGGUAUCAGGGAAGCCAAGUGUCAACGACUACUCUACCGGAUAAGGUCUUUUGUCGGUGACAUAAAUGUAGGGUGUUAUUGGACUUUUACUUUUUUUCACCUUCCAAAGUUUUUUUUUUAAUUAAUCUUAUAUACACCCACAGUAUAUAUACAAUUUUUAUUGAAUGUAUAACAAUUUUUUUGAAUUUAAAUUUUAUCCAUAUGUCAUGCAUUCAACCACGAUAGUGUAUACAAUAUCAAUGUAUAUAAGAUUUAUUUAUUUAUUUUUAAAAAUACAACAUUGUUGAGGACCUAUCUAACUUUUGGGAUCUGAGAGCUCAAUAUCAUCAAACAAAAAUCUGGUUAUAACAAUUCUACCAAACAACCAUCGGAUAAAAUGUUUGAGGACCUAUCUAUCUAACUCAUGACCAAUGCGUGACGAAAAGAUUGUUGCAUUUAUUCCACAUUCGUUGCAGGAAAAACACCGACCAAUGUAAUAUAUAAAUAUGAGGAAAAACUGACAGAUAGCAUCGCCUGCACUCGAUGUAAACCAUCAGAGCAAGUUGUGUGAGAACCAUACCAGGAGCCUACUGAUUCAGGUUUUGUCAGGAAUUUUCCCAUGAACUGAUUGCAACAACUAACGACGGCAAUACAAUGUAGCCUGAUGGACUCGGCCUUAGCAUGAAGAACUUUCCAACGGAAUACAUACAAGUACAACAACAGUUGAUGUGCUCACCAGCAAGGCACACGGGGCCCAUUAUUUGUUCCGGUGAUUUGUUCUGUAUGAUAUAUGUAUGGGGCACAUUUACCCUCCGUCGUCCUUCUGCAUUGUUCCACCACUAACUAACGGAGUAACAGACCGCCGGGAUGGAAUUUGGAAAGGGCACGGCAACGGAAGGGCGAUAAACAGAUUGUUGAAUAUCAUUACGGAAAGCGUGGAAAUUGCUGCAUGGUACUACCAUACAUCAGCACAUUGCACUACCAUACAUCAGCACAUUGCACAUUCAAUUUUUUCUGCUUCCAUCUCUUAAUUUACAGCUCUCACAAUUUUUAUUUUAUUCUUAUCACGAGUAACAAAUUAUUCAUCAUUCUAAGCCUACUUUUUCUUCUUGGAAUUAAACUCAAAACUGAUCGAUGAUAUUUUCUUCUUGGAGUUACUCGAGGCUUCACCCUGGACUCCGAGUGCAGUCUGGAGAAAAGAAGAAAGUAUAUCAUUAAGUACUCAGAUCUCCAGUGACCUACAUAUUCACAGCUUGAAGUUGAGAAUCCAAACAUUUAUCCGACAUCAAGAUGUUGCACAUUAUUUUUACAUUCUUCAAAAACAUACGGCUUGAAAGAAAUUAAACUAUAUGCAGCUUACCAUGUUAAGCAGCCGUAGAGCAGCAGGC
This 58181-nucleotide long non-coding RNA is filed under the name Coffea arabica (coffee). RNAcentral describes it as "long non-coding RNA (CARA_LNC004819)". The record is from RNAcentral. Lineage: Eukaryota; Viridiplantae; Streptophyta; Magnoliopsida; Gentianales; Rubiaceae.